Molecule: long non-coding RNA, 73312 nt
Filed under: Gossypium barbadense (sea-island cotton)
Lineage: Eukaryota; Viridiplantae; Streptophyta; Magnoliopsida; Malvales; Malvaceae
Description: long non-coding RNA (GBAR_LNC021355)
Source: RNAcentral
ACAGAUCGCUCUUCUGCGUCAAGAAGCACAGCCUUGAUUGUGGAGACGGUGCUUUUGAGGUCGUCGAGGUCAUCUUUGACAUUCCACCACAGUCCAAUUUGAGAGAGAGUAAAGGAGCUCAAUUUAGUAAUAAGCUCUACGGCGAGGUCGAAAGCAAUUGCUUCGGCCAUUGCUGGUUCAAACAGAAAUCAAGCAAAAGAGUGUUUGGUUAUUGCAAGAGGAGGACUAAAAUGAAAAUGAUUGGAACAAGAUGAAACACAGAUGUGGAUCUAUACACGCGGAGACUAAGAAUUUUUAUAGGUGUUACCAUCCACCCUGCAAGUAGUAUAAUUAAAUGAAAAUAAUGUUGAUUGGUGGGAAAUAUUUGACACAAAUUUCUCAAUGGAGACAAAGUUGGGAUGAUAUCACUUCGGGUGCUCUGCACAAUUACAUCAACUUGGGCAAAAUUAGUCAGUCUCGAUCCCUACAAAUAAUUGAAAUUAAUGAAAAAGCUAUGAAAGAAAAGAGAAGAAAGAAACAAAUCCCAUGGAAUCCAAGGUGUUUCGAUUGAGGCGAAUGCAUUCGAGUCUUAAAUUAAAUAUUUUAUUUCUAUUUGAGUUGGAAUUAAGUUCGUAAUUUAGUUUAAUAAGAUAAAAAUAUAUAAUAUAUUAUUAAACUUAAAUUUAAUUUCAUCAAUAGUUUAAAUUUAGCUCAAUAAUUAUCUAAUCGAAUUUAAAUAUAUUUUUAAUCGAAUUCAGUUAAAUAAUUAAUAUUAAAAUCUCAUUUAGGCCUCUCCCACCCGUGAAAUUUAGCUUUAAUUUUUCCUUUUUGGUAACUUGGUAACAAUUAUUAUUAUCAUGUCUAUAAUUAUAUAUAAUGACAAUUGUUACUAUAUCCAUUACUAUUAUACUAUACUCUUAUUAAUAAUGUUUUUUAUAUUGAUAAGUCUGUUAAUUAUAUUUGUUAUUAAUUUUUUUAUAUAAUAUUAAGAAUAAAAAUAAAGUAAUAUGGUUCGAAUUUGUGUUAAAUAAGUGUCUGGUAAAAGCUUUAACCAUCUCUCCAUACUAUUAGUGUACAACUUCGAUGACGAAAAUCUUGAACACAUGAACAACAAUUUGAACAGAGAAAAGAAGCAAUAGGACAAGGCUCAAUUAUCUUUCUAUUCACCCCCUACUCUAUGUGCAAAUGAGUUUAAAGUAAAUGAACCUCGAGGAUACAUGAACCCUAGUAGCUAUGAGCGUUUUACAUUAACGAAAAUAGUCCACUAAGAACUAAACAGAGUAUAACAAGAAAAUCAAUUUUUAUAAAAAAAAAUUCAGCAAUAUUAUUUUAUAGAACAGUCUAAGAAUGGUAAAAUAUGUAAGAAUAGUAGAAAGAAUUUUUGAGAAUUUCUUUUGGGUAUAUUUUUUGGCUUUAAUUUUUUGGAGUUACAUAAUCACUUAUUUUUUGGCUUUAAUUUUGCAAAGAACGUGUGGUCAUAGGGAUGUGUUGUCAUUAGGCUAUUGUGGAGUUGAAUGGAAAAUCAGUACUUAUAUCGUCAUCAAUACGGCUUACAUCUACUGAUUAGAGUGCAUUUUAAUUACUUUAAUAUACAUAAAAUUAUUUAUUGUUGGAAAUUUUGAUUACUUCUCUCGAUAUUUUAAUUACAUCUAUUUGAUUAGGAGUGCGUUUGAGGUCGUCGAGGUCAUUUUUGAGAUUCCGGCGCAGUCCAAUUUUAGAGAGAGCACGAGAGCUCAACUUAAUAAUGAGCUCUGCGGCGAUGUCAAAAGCAAUUGCUUCGGCCAUUGUUGGUUCAAACUGAAAUCAAGGCAAAAAAAUGUUUGAUUACUGCAAGAAGAGGACUAAAAUGAGAAUGAUUGGAACAAGAUGAAACACAGACGUGGAUCCAUACAUGCAGAGACUAUAACUAUAGUUAUAGAUGUUACCAUCCACCCAGCAAGUAGUAUAAUUAAAUGAAAAUAAUUUUGUUCGGGGGAAAAUGGUCCCAUCGUAUUUAAUAAAUAUCUCUUUUGCUAACAAUUAUAUCUGUUUAGAUAUUAUGAAUCGAAGCACCCAAACUGUAAUUUUCUCUCAUAAAAGGGUCUCUCCAGUUUUGCUCUUUCAUCUUGCUUCUUUCUUCAUUAUUAAAUACUGACUUAAACAUAAAAGAAUAUCUCAAAAUACAAGCUCUAGUGUCCACCCCUCUCACUUUGCAACAAAAUUAUAAAACUUGUGACCUGAGAAAUUAAUAAUGAAACUUUGGGAUUACAUAGUCAAAUAUGCUUACUUUCUUUGCUAUUUAACAUUAAUUGAGGUGAGGUGAAUAAAGCAGGAGAUUUUAUGGUGAAAUUUUGGGUUUAGGAAACUGUGAAGAAAUGAAAUGGCAAAGGAGAAGAAGAUUUGAAGAAACAGAAAGGAAGCAAAUAGGGGGUACAGCCAGCUCAUUUGGAAUUUUCCUAUUCCAUUAACCUUUGGGUUAGUUUUCAAUAUAUAAAGAAAGCACAACUUUCAAUUUUGGAUGGCGCUGGAAUUAUAUAUUCCUUUAUGGUAAGUGGGGUUCAUGUUUUUUAUUUGUUUAUUACUACGAAUAUUAUAUAUCAUCAAUCAAACAUUAUUUUAAUAUUUGUGGUGUUUUUCUUGUUGUUAUGUGAGAUAAAUUAUUCAACUAUUAAUAAAUUUAUAUUUUGAUUAUUAACUUUUAAAAAAUUUAUUUAAAAUUUUUUAUUCAAGUCACUGAACAAUUUAAAAUUUUUUUAUUUAAGUUAUUAAGUUGUUACAUUUUUUUAAAGUUUGGCUAGUGAGCUCCAAACGACAAUUUAAUUAUCAGUAUGGUAGAUCAAUAUCUAUCAACGAGUAAAAGAUUAUAAAUUCGACUCAAAUUAAUUUAAUAGUUAGUGUCAGAGAUUAAAGAAAACUAUUUAAAUGUGUAAUGCUUGUGAUUAUUUUUGAAAUUUGUGGUUUUUUAAAGGUGGGUAUUGAGAUUAAUGUAAAAGUUUAAAUACAAUAAUUUUUUAGUCUUUCUUAGAUUAGAGAGGCAAAAAGAAUAGAGAUUGACAAAUAUGACUUCCAAUCAUAACACUAAUGGUGAUGAAGUCUGUUUUAUUAUUUUUAUUUUGGGGUAAAUAUUAAAAUUAUUCAUAAAUAUUGAUGUAAUGUGUAAUUUGAUAAUAAAUUUUGAUUCGAUGUAAUUAUACAAUUGAAGCUUUAAUUAUAGCUCAAAUGUAUAUAUAAAAUUUUAAUUUUAAUUCAAUCGUAUACAUUUACAAAAAUUAAAAUAUUAAUCAAUUUUUCUAUUAAAUAAAUAUAAUUAUUUAUGCAUCCAUGUUAAUACAUAUAUUACCCGUAGAGUCUAAAUAAUAUUUUAAAGAUGUCACCACCUACCCACCUACCUGCAGUUUUCAACGUAUUUUUCUUGAAUGGCACUACAGGACGUGAUGCUGUGAACAAAGAACAAGAAGUUGGUCAGAAUUUUAAAUUGAAUUUAUUAUAUUACAUUUAAUCACAAGUUUUUUAAUACAAAUAACUAGAAUUAUUACAUCAGCUAAUCUUAUUAUUAUUAUCAUUGAAUGUUAUUGUCCAAACAAGGAUAGCUCAAAUAUAAUUUAUUCAACUUCUUAUUCAUUUGCCUCCGAUGAGUAGAGUUGAAUAAAAAGACCUAAAAAAUUGAAAAUUGAUUUGACUCGAGGUGGUUAGAACAGCAUGCAAGUUAACAAAUCACAACCGCCCAAAACCAAACCAAAUUCUAUUUUUUUUUCAAAAAAAAUCACUCGGUUGAAGUUAAAUUGAAUAUUUUAUUUCUAUUUGAGUUGGAAUUAAGUUCGUAAUUUAAUUUAACAAGAUAAAAUAAUGUAAUAUAUAUUGCUAAACUCAAAUUUAAUUAGAUUGAUAGUUCAAACUCAGUUUAAUAAUUAUCGAAUCGAAUUUAAAUUUUUUUUAGUUGAAUUCAGUUAACAUAUGAACAUUAAUAUCUUAUUUAAGCCUCUCUCGCCAAUAUAAUUUAGCUUCGAUUUUUUCUUUUUGGUAACUUGGAAACAAUUAUUAUCAUGUCUAUGAUUAUAUAUAAUUAUAAUUGUCACUAUCCAUUACUAUUAUACUAUACUCUUAAUAAUAAUAUUUUCUUUUAUUGAUGAGUCUUGUUAAUUAUAUUUGUCAUUAAUUUUUUUAUACAAUAUUAAGAAUAGAAAUAAAAUAACAUGGUUCGAAUUCGUGUCAAAGAAGUGUUUGAUAAAAGCUUUAACCAUCGCUCCAUACUAUUAGUGUGGAACUUUGAUGACGAAAAUCUUGAACACAUGAACAACAAUUUGAACAGAGAAAAGAAGCAAUAGGACAAGGCUCCACUAUCUUUAAGGUUCUAUUCACCACCUACUCGAGGAUACAUAAACCCCAGUGACUAUGUGCGUUUUAUAUUAACGAAAAUAGUCUGAUAAGGACUAAACAGAGUAUAAUAAGAAAAUCAAUUUUUAUAUAGAAUAAUCUAAGAAUGGUAGAAAGAAUUUUUAUAAGAAUUCAAGAGACAUAACAUUCAAUAGGUGUGUUUUUUUUUUAAUAAUCAUAUCUUCAAAAGAUACAUAAUUAUUCAAUUAAUAUAUUCAAAUAAUAUUGCUUGAAUAGUUAUAAUUUUUUGUCAGAAAAAUCAAGUGAUAUAACUUUUCAUAUUUAAUAGAUUUAAUUUAUUAUUAUGAAUAGUUAUAACUCUUGAUCAAUAACCAAAAAAUAUAAUUUCUGAUUAAUUACACUCUUUCAUUUAUAAUUAUUGGGACACUAUAAAUAUUUGAUAAUUUUCCAUCACAUACAAGUCAAGACAUAUUUGCUAUUAAUAGCCUUAAAAUAUACAUAUAUUUAUUAGGAAAGGGUCAAUUAUUAUUAUUAAGGAUAAAUAUCAAAUUUAUACAUGAACUUUGGUUAAUGUUCAAUUUGAUACAUAAAUUUUGAUUUGGUGCAAUUAUCCAUAUGAAACUUGAAUUGUGGUUCAUAUAUAUAUAUAUGAAACUUUGAUUUUCAUUCAAUUGUAUACAUUUAAAUAAAUUAAUACAUAUAUAUUUAUAUUGAAUUAUUAUAAUUAUUUGUAUAUGCAAUAUAUAAAAAAUCAGAUGAGAAGUUGCCUACAAAAGAAAAAGUAAAUAUUUUUGGACUUAAUAUCAGGGGUGACUGCAAAUGUGGCACAGAGAGCUGUUGAGGAGUUACAAAAUCACUUAUUUUUCGGCUUUAAUUUUGCAAAGACAUGUGGUCAUAGGGAUGUGUUGUGAUUAGGCUAUCGUGGAGUUGAAUGGAAAAUCAUUACUUAUAUCAUCAUCAAUAUUGCUUACAUCUAUUUGAUUAGGAGUGCAUUUUAGUUACUUUAAUAUACAUAAAAUUGUUUAUUGUUGGAAAUUUUGAUUACUUCUCUCCAUAUUUUGUUUCAUGUCAUGUUUAAGGAAAUAAUUUUGAUUGGACUAAUAAUAUUAUAAGAUUGAAAUAUUCUUUCAAAAUGCAGAGUUGUAAGAUUAAAUUAGAGUUUAUUAUGAGUUGAGUUUAAGUAUAAUAUUAAUUCAUUUUAUAGUCAAAAUAUAAGUUUAAAAUUUUACUUUAAGUUCGUCCAAAUUUGUAUAUAGUUAACUCAUGUCAAUUUUAGACCCGCCAUACUAUUUUUUAAAAAAUUAAAAUAUAUUUGAAUUAUUUCUAACUUAAUAUUUAAUAAUUAUGUAUAUAUUUUUAUUGAAAUUUUAUAUAUAGUCAUCUUAACAUUAUAACAGUACAUAAAUUUAUUUUUUAUUUGUUACAAGUUACAUAACAUAUAAAAAAUAAUGUAAUAUAAAAUAUUGCAAACUAAAAAAUUAGGUCGGCCCAAACUUACAGUUUAAAUGUUCAAUCUCAAGCCCAACCUAUAUUUUAAGCGGACUUUUUUUUUUUUACUGGAGCCUAUUUUUUAAACGUAAUAUAUUUACUUAAACCCUCACAAAUUUUGAAUAAGCCUUUGGACUUGACGAAAAACCCUAUCCAUAAACAGAUCUAGACUGAACUAAAUUUACUACAUUCUUUCCCUUUUAUUUCCCUAUUAUUUUGGGUCAAUAGUACAUAUCUAUUAAGACUUUAUUGCUCCUAUAGGGAUGAUUAUAUAUUAAAGUUAGACAAUGAUCGUACAAAGCUAUUUUAUUCAUAGAAAGUCAAGAAAUUGUCAAUCCAUACAACCGUAUGCUUUUUCAAAAUCUACUUUAAAAGAUAGCACCUCCCCUUCUUCGCUUUUUUGAAUAUAGUCCACAACUUCGUUUUCACUAAAGCACAAUCCAGAAUCUAACAAUCUGAAAUAAAAGCAAAAUUGACCUUCAUUGAUGGUCCUGAAUGAAGCUUUGAAUCUAUCUAGUCAAAAAUUUUCGGUAUAGUAAAAAUUUUUAACAUCAAAUAAAUAAUAAAAUAGGGUGGGCAUCAAUAAAUAAAUAAAUAAAAUCUGAAUUUUACUGUAUGGACAAGUCUAUUGAGAAAUUUUUAAAAAAAAUGAUAUUUUAGCAUAUAUAUGGGUUAAAGUACUUAGGAAGUCCCUCUAACAUUAAAUGAAUCAAUUUAGUCCAUAUACUAUUAAAAAAAUAUAAAUAAGUUCAAAUUGUAACGGAGUUAACAUUCACUAUAGCACGUUUAACAUUAACAUAGUUAAAUAUUUUCAAUGCAUUUUAGACAAUAAAUGCUAACUAUGUUACAAUUUAACCUUAUUUGAUCUAUUUUAAUAGUAUAGGGACUAAAUUGACCGAGGGGGUUAUUUGAUAAGUCCCUAUAAUACAGGGACUUCUCAAUUCUCAAGUACUUUCAACAUUAUAUAUGUAUUUCAAUCUUAUUUUGGAAUGAAAUUGAACAAUUGAAAAAGGUUAGAGUUCAAAAACAUUAUACAGUCCCGAUGAUUGUCACAGAUUUUCAUCUAGUAAUAGUCGUAGAAUAGUUGCCGAUCAAGAAGUUGAAGCAAUUGUUGUGAGAUCUCUAGUGAGUUCAAAAAUUCUCUUCUGAAAAUGGUGGCUAUCAUGUAAUUAGCAGUAUAUUAUUUCAAUUUUGGUGAGAAUUGUAUUCUCACUUAAACGCUUAAUGCCAUUUGCUUAAUACUUUGUGUGUGUGAUCUUUUGAUCUGUUCAUAGACAGAACUUUUCAUGGUGGCUAAGUUUCUUAGGGGAUAAAUUAUUAGUAGUAUUAUUUGUUUCUGCAGUGAAAUUGUGAUGCCUGUAUUUUAAACUGUGAGGUAUUUCCGUAUUUGAUGAUGUAGUGGAGUUUUGGUAGAUUUAAGUGCUCGUUUGCUGUACUAAGUUGAAAUUGAAUGAAUGCUGGCCUCAUCCAAUGUCCAAAACUUGAUGACUUCAACAUUUUGAUGCCUUAAUUUGAGAAGACUAGGUUAGAGUACUAUAAAACUUUCUAAGAAUGCUGAUGAGGCAUAGAUCUAGUGAUAUAAUAUAAUUGCAAUUGAUAGUAUGGUAGUCUAAAUGCUUUAGUAAGAGAGGAAGAUUAUGUCAUGCUACUCCAUUCUCGGUUUAAAUCAGUGCUCUAUAUGAAGAAAGGUUGAUGGGUGUUAGUUCUUUUGAUGUCUUGUCUUUGAUGGAUGUUUGAAAAAUGAUUCAGUUGAUAUUCAUAAUGUCUAUCACUACAGUUUCCCCUUUAUGUAUAAUAUGACUGCUAGUUUGUCGGUCUUCGUAUAUUAUAUUCCUUUUUCUUAUUGUUUUCAACACGAUAACAACUGAGUUACUAGUUAUUUUACUUGAUUUUGUCAUGGCAUUUCAAAGAUGACCUUAAGGACCUCAAAAGCACCAUCUUCACAAUCAAAGAUGUGCUUCUUGAUGUCGAAGAACAAUCCAUGACCAGCACUCUCAUCAAAGAUUGGCUUGAAAAGUUAAAAGAUGCAUUUUAUGAUGGCGAUGAUUGGCUCGAUGAUUUUUGUUGAAGGUUGGUAAGCAUGUAGCAAAGAAGCAGACAACAAGCAGGUCAUGAAGAUUGACCCAUGCAGAAGCUGCUGCAGCAAGCACAACUGUUCCUUUUUUGUUCAUUUUGUAACCUUAAGUUGACGUAAUGUAUUUUAGUUCAUUUUGAACUAUGUUAGAUUAAUGAAUGAUGUAAUUAGAUGAUGAAUGAGCUGUAAACUCAGCUUUGUCCAUGCUUACAAGUUUUGUUUUUCAAGUUUCAAUGUAUAAGUGGUAGUAGGUAGCAAUUAGGUGACCACAUACCGAUUUUGAUAAGCAAAUUACUUGAUUUAUGUAUUGGCAUUAUGCCAUUGAUCAAAAUGAAUGAAAUCCAUCAGUUUUUUGUUCUAUUACACUUCACUUUCUUUGCUUUCUUUUCUCUUCUUUUCUUUUCAUUUUCUCUCGAUUUCUUUUGUUUCUUCAGCAAGCAUCGAGCCUUGCAGCUCAAGCCAUAAGCUGAACUUGUCUGUUCUUUGUUCCUAACACCAAUAAUUUUUCUACUGAAGUUUUGCGGAAAGAUCUACUGAGCAGGAGCAAGCUAAUGAAAGAUGCCUUUUCUUUUCAAGCUCAAACCAAUUUGCUUAUGGUUCCAAAAUGGGUCAUCUAAUUAAGGCCAGGAUGUUCAACUUGGUAGAGUGUGACCGUCCCAUUAAAACCUAUUUCAUAACUAAGAAGAGGCAGCGAACACUCUUUUGUGAGUAAAGAUGAAAUAAUAUGGAGGGAAGAUGAUAAAGCAGCUUUUCUAGAACACAUAUUAGAGUUCCAAAGUGAAGAGAAGGUUUAUGUGAUUCCGAUUGUGGAGUUUGGAGGGUUAGGGAUGACUACAUUAGUACAGUUUGCCAAUGAAGUGAUCAAUGAUCAUUUUAAGUUGAGGAUAUGUAAAGAUUCCAAACUGAUCAUCUCGGAAGCGAUCUUAAAUCGGGCAAAUUAGAGAGAUAAAGAAAUUGCAACCCACUCCGGAAGAUGCCGACACUUUGGAAUUUUUGCCUGCGAUAGGGAGCGUAGGUUACAAUGCCAUGGACAGAUCACAACUCCACUUUCUAUAUAGUUUCAAAAAUUACUCGGGGGCAGAAGGCAAUGGGAGCCACAACUCCCCUUACCCCUCCCCCUUCCAAAUUUGGGAAAUUCUCAUUAAGCCUUCAAUUUUUUGAAAAUUUUAAUUAAACUCCUCAAUCUUUUUAAAAUUUUCACUAAGCCCUUUAAUAGUUUUAUAUGUUUUAAUUCGACCCCUUUUUUUUUAACUUCUCAUUAGGUUCUUUAAAAUUUUUGAAAAAUUUAAUUCCACAUUUCGCUACCUUUCGUCUCUGAUAGCUUUAGUUUAUUUGAAUGCUUGGAAUUAGGCUUUCACAUUGUUACAUGGUUGAAAAUUACUUGUAUUUUGAUAAGGAAAACAAUGAGAAAAAUAACAAUUAGAUGCUUGGAAUAUUGGCUUGUGCCAUGAUAGGCCUUUAUAAGGUGUUAUUCAACUUGUAAUUUGAUGUGUGCCAACAUAAGCAUCAACAGACAAGUCAUGUAUAUACAGCCAGGACAUCGACAUCUUUUGGAAGCAUCAUAAUUGAACAAUGUGAAAUACCGUCUAAAACAAUUAUUGUCUCAUAAUCAAUUGUGCAUCCCUGCAUUUGAAUACUGUUUGGAACAUUAAAAAUGAGUUUUUUCCUGAGUUGGUACAUAUUAUGCAACAAGGAAAAUAAAGAACACAAUUAAGAUGUUCACGCAGUUCUAAACUCGUCCUACGUCUGCAGGGCUUUGCCCAAAAAUGAAUCCACUAUGAACUUCAUAGUACAAAGAAAUGUUUUAAGCUUAACCCCUCAAACACUUGAUGCAAUCUCACUUUUGUACAAUUAAGUAAAUUCUCUCCCAACUCAUUUUAGCUAUGCAAGUGAAAAUUCACAUUCAACACUCAGAUGGUUUUCCUACUAUGAAUCAAGCUCUUAAUAAGCUCCAUGUAAAGUGGAAUAAUAAAUUUUCAAAUGCAAUAUGUCUGGCAAAUGUCAUGCUUGAACAACGACUCUUCCAAAAGCAUCAAUGAACCUGAAAAUUAUAAAUGCCAACAUAGAAUAUGUUAUAAAUCCCAUUAUUAUCAGCCUUAUAUUUGCACAUAUGUGUGUUUAGUAUAUUGCUGUUGAUAUAUAAAUAAUGAAACAUUUUAUCAACUUCAUCCUCACCACCAAAUAUUCUGAAGCAUCUUCCUUUUUUUCCUGUUUGGACCUUCAAUAACAAAUCUGUUUGGAAUUCCAAACAGCUAAAAGAGUGCCCUGCAUCAACGAAUAUUAUGAAUUUGAAUACCUCCAAAAGCCUGUCAAUAGCAGUGGUACCAUCUAAGAUAGUAAUCAGUUGGCAUAUAUUAAGAGAAAACAUAAAUAUAUAUAAAGAUACAAUAGGUAAGUGCUUAAAUGAAGAAAGCAGAGCAUAUAGUCCAACCAUUUUGAAGGCUUCAUAGGCCUCUCUCUCCACAUCAAUGAUUUUUUAGAAUUAAAUUAGUAGAAGCAAUUGUCAAGUUAUUAUUAUGAUUUAAAAAUAAAAAGCAAAUAGAUAAAUUAGCACCUCUUUUUAUGCAUAUAAAAUGAUUGAAAUUCACUAAUGCCUUUAUCCAAUGCCUUACUGCACAAAUCAGCAAAAAUAUUAUGAAAGAUGAUAAGUAAAAAGUAGGAUGAAAACAAAGGGAUUUUAACAAGGAAAUUAACAGUAUCCAACUUCAAUGAAAAAUGGCAUCAGACCCCUGACUUGGAGAUUCAAUAUACCACUCUUUAUUUUUCUUCAAAAAAAGAUAAGGUCAUCAAAAUAAAUAAAUAACAAAGACAGACCAACCUGAUUCACAAAAUGCAGGGGAUGUGAGCAAUCUUUUGCCAAUCAGCGCCAAUGUCCUUCUGACAUCUUUCCUCCAACUGAGGAACUUCAUGUAUGUGUAAAUGCUCCAAACUGGUUAGGCAACGCAUCUCAUCCGGAAGAGAUGUUAAAUUGGGCAAAUAAGAGAGAUGAAGCUCUUGCAGAUUUGUUAGAUGUUGAAGCCACUCCGGAAGAUGUCGACACUUUGCAAUAUUUUCCAGACACAGAGAACGUAGGCUUGUAUGAUCUUGGAAUAUUUGGAUGCCAGCUCCAGAUAACUCCAGCUCCUUACAGUCCUUUACUUCAAACUCUUCAAGGAAAGUGAGAUGUUGGAACACAGGAAGCAGUGACCUCAAUCCAUUGCAGUUCUGAAUUUUUAAUGUUUUCAAUUGAACAAGAUGUUGAAGCCCAAUGGGGAGAGACACCAGCUUUGGAAUAUUAUCAAUCUUCGAAAAAGAGAGAUUCUUAAGGGGUUCCCAUUGCAUGCCCUCUAAAUCAACCUCCUUGCAAUCACUUAUUGUUAAGAAUUUGAGGCUGGUGAGAUGUUGCAGGCACUCAUCUAGCGCGUGAGUGUCCAACCCCUCAAUGUUGUGUACAUGGAAAGAUUUCAAUUUGGAGAGCGGAAGAGAAGAGGUUGAAGUUGAUGGGGCCUUAGCAUUGAUGUUCAUCUUGAUAAUCUGCUUUAACGGCCUUGAACUGGUAUUCGACAACAUUAGAUCUUCAUCGAGUGAUGGAUACAGUGCCAUUAAAGUCAAAGGGCAAUUUUUAAUACCUAAAGAGGAAAGACAAGGAAAUGCCAUGGUUGAUGUUCCCAUAACUGUUGUGUCGUCCUCGUUGGAAUCAUCAUCGAUUGGUUUUGUCGUCCUCCACCAACUCUUCAUAUUCGGACAGUCCCAGAGCCAAAGUUGCUUAAGUGAUGGGAAGAAUGAUUGUGGUUCUCCUUGACUUCCUUUUGGGCUAUUAUCAUCAAUUGGUUUUGCCGUCCUCCACCAACUCUUCAUAUUCGGACAGUCCCAGAGCCAAAGAUGCUUAAGUGAUGGGAAGAAUGAUUGUGGUUCUCCUUGACUUCCUUUUGGGCUAUUAUCAUCCAUGUACUCCAGCUUAGUACAACCAUGUAUCUCCAGCCCUUUAAGACAAGGAAAUUGCGCAAAGGAUGGGAUUUGUUUGAAAUUACCCCGAUAUAUUCUCAUAUAAACGAGAUUUGUGAGCAAAGAAAGCCAACUUGGAAACUUGGCAUCACCUCUCCAUCCUACAAUACAGAGCUCCUUGAGAUUAGGAUGGGGCUGGAGGUCUUCAAGUGACUUCUCAUCAUCACCAUUACCACAGGCCCAUGCUAAUUCCAACGAUCUCAAAUGUUGCUUCUCUUUCAAAUUAGCAGCCUUAAACUUCUCUUUUGCAUUUUUUACGGAUCCCAAUUUUGUUAUUUGUAGACGUCCCCUUAAGUUGUUAAGCAGUCUCAAUUCACUUAGAUCUGCACCGCCAUGGGACCCAUCUUUAUCCACUACAAACAUGCUUAACGUCUCAAGUGAAGUCAGCUUCCCUAUUCCACGUGGCAUAUGAGUUAAACUACGACAAGAAUAACACGCGAGAUGGGUAAGAUUCACCAAUUUUUCAAUCUUCUUUGGCAAUUCUUGAAGCCUGCAACACUCAUCAAGUUUCAGCGCUAGCAAAUUCUGAAUCUUGCAAAUACUCUUUGGGAGAAUCUCAAGACCGCUAUUAUAAGAAAGAUCAAGGUACCUCAAAUGUUUCAACUUACAAAUGGAGCGUAAAAUCUUUUGAAUACCUAUAGAAUCCAAUUUCAAUACACGCAAGCUUCUACAAUUUGCAAUUAUCAAAUCCCAAGUUUCAUAGCUGAAAUCUAGACUUAUUUUGUCUUCAAAAUGUAACAAGGUUCGCAACUUCUUUCCCUUAAACAAAGGAAUUAAUGAAGGUUUAAUUGAUAUGUGGCGACAUUUUUCACCAACAUCGCUUGCAAUUUUAUUUGAAUCUACAAUACUACUCUCCAUCCCUGCUACUGAUUCAGCUAGAUCAUGCGUUAAAUCAUGCAUUUUACAUCUCAUUUCUUCCAUCAAGUCUCCUUCUAUAUCUUGAAAGAAACUUGUUUCGACUAAAGCUUUAAAAUACCCAAAUCCGAUCUCCUCGAGAGAUUGACUUUGAUUCAAUUGCUUUAUGAAACCCUGUGCAAUCCAAAAUUGAACAAGCGCUUGUACUUUAAUUUUGUAAUCUUUUGGAUACAAUCGGCAAUAAGCAAAGCAAUGCUUCAAAUGAGACGGGAGAUGAUCAUAACUCAAUUUCAGUAUCGGUAGAAUUUCUCCUUCAAUUUGUGAUAUUUUAGCGAGUUCAUUUUCUUUGAAAGAAUGCCACUCAUUUGCAGUUUUCUUCAAAGAUAAUGUACCAGCUAUCGUCCUUAUGGCUAAGGGAACCCCACCACACCUUUCAGAAAUCUGUCUCCCUACUUCCACAAAGGCUGAAUUUGUUGAGUCUGCAUAUCCUUGCUCAAAUGCUAUCUUUUUGAACAAAGACCAAGCAUCAUCAUCAGACAAGCCUUUCAGUUUCAAAACAUGGGAUUGACAUUUAUUAGUUAUCUCCGCUACCCUUAGAGAUCGAGUAGUUACUAUUAUCCUACUCCCUUUAGCCCCACCCAUCAAUAACUUCUUUAGCCUAGACCACUUUUCUGUGUCCUCAUUCCAAAUGUCAUCCAAAACAAGCAAAUAUUUUUUCCCAUCAAUUUUAUCUCGAAGUUGUUUUUGCAAUUGAUCCAUUUCAAGAUUUUGAUCAGGUGCGUGAUGAGUCACAGAUUUGAUAAUGUUUGCUACAAUAGCUUUCACAUCAAAAUCAUCUGAAACACACGCAAACAUCGUUAAGUCAAAAUGAUUUUUGACCAUUUCAUGGUUAUAGACAAGUUGGGCCAAAGUAGUCUUCCCUAACCCACCAAACCCCACAAUUGGAAUGAUAUAAACACUUUCUUCACUUUGAAACUCCAACACGAGUUUUAGAAGAGCUGCUUUAUCAUCAUCCCGCCCUAUUAUGUCAUCUUCACGCUCAAAAGAGUGCGUUUGCUGCCUUCUUUUAGUCAUGAAAGAGGUUUCCGCGGGGCGAUCACGCGGAACGAAGCCAAAAGUGUUGGCCUCACUUUCAAUUGAAGCCAAUCUCGCCUUAAUGGCCUUCAUUUUCCGACCCAUUUUGAGACCAUAAGCAAAUUGGUUUGAGGUUGAGAAGAAAAGGCGUACCUCUUUCGUCAGCUUGUUCCCACCCGAUACAUCUUUCCGCAAAGCUUCAGUAGAGAAAUCAUCGAGCAAGUCGUCGGCAUCACAAAGUACAUCUUUCAGCUCUUCAAGCCAAACUUUGACGAGAUUGUCGGUCACCGAUUUCUCUUCAGCGUCAAGAAGCACAGCUUUGAUUUGACAGACAGUGCGUUUGAGGUCGUGGAUGUCAUGUUUUAGAUUCCACCACAGCCCAACUUGAGAAAAAGCACGAGAGCUCAACUUAAUAAUGAGCUCUGCAGCAAUGUCGGAAGCAAUUGUUUCGGCCAUUGUUGGUUCAAACAGAAAUCAAGGCAAAAAGGGUUUGAUUAGUGAAAGAGGAGGACUAAAAUGAGAAUGAUCCCAGCAAGAUGAAACACAGAUGUGGAUCCAUCCACCCACCCAGUAGUAUAAUUAAAUAAAAAGUAAUGUUGAUUGGUGGGAAAUGGUCCCUCCAUGUUUACUGUUUGACACAAAUUUCUCAAUGGAGACAAAGUUGGGACGAUGAGAAAUUUCCCAAUGCUCUGCACAAUGUGGAACCGUACAAAUAAUUGAAAUUAAUGAAAAAGCUAUGAAAGAAAAGAGAAAAAGGAAACAAAUCCCAUGGAAUCCACAAGGUGUUUUGAUUGGCGCCCAUGCAUUCAAGUCUUUCUAAACUUCUUCCCACUUACUUUGUGUAAUUGAGUGAGUAUCAAUACUCGGUUUUAACUUAAAUUCAAUAUUUUAUUUUUGAGUUUUAUUUCGGUUGAAUAUAUAAAAUAAAAAUUCAAUAAAACUCAUUCGCUAUUAAAAUCAAAUAUUAUUAAAUUCGAAUUAGAUUAAAUCAAUAAUUUAAACAUAACUUAAUGAUUACUAAAUCAAAUUUAAAUUUUUUUCGAAUCGAAUUCAAUUAAUAACUUACGAAUGAUUAUCAUGUCCUCCUUGUGAAAACUAAAGUGGUUGACAAUGCUAGCACAAUCUGUUUCAAAAAUAACAUUAUCGGCUUUAAGAAAUUGAGCAAGUCGAUAACCAUUGAUGAGGGCAUCUAAUUCCGCUUUAAUAGUGAUUUUUUAUUCUCAUUUUAUCGGUAUAUUUACAUUUGAAUUCAAAUAUAUAUUCUACAAUUAACUUUAAUCUCAAUGUUACAAUACUUAACCUCACUAAAUUACUUGUUUAACUUGAUUAUGAUAAAUUUAUAGAAAGAACAAUCACGAAACAAAUGUAGAUGCACUAUGUUUAAAGUAUUAUUAAUGGAAAUUUUAUAAUUUUGAAAAAUAAAAGUAUAAUAAUUUUUUUGGCAUUCUAACUUUAUAAAAUAAUUAUUUUAGCUCUCUAUUUAUUUUCCUUCUCUUUUAGUCUUUGAACUUAUAUUUUUUUGUCAAACCAUCCAAAAUGGGUAAAAAAGUUAAUGUUUGUUAACUUUUUUGACAUGACAUAUAGGUGGAUUACCACGUGUAUGUCACGUUAGCAAUUAAUUAUUUUUAAAAAAAUUAAAAAAAUAUUUUCUUAUAAUUUUUUUAAUUUUUAAAAUAUUUUUUUGAAUUUUUAAUUUUUUUUUAAAAAUAAUUAAUUGCUUAUGUGACAUAUACGUGGUAAUCCGCGUAUAUGUCACAUCAGCAAGAUCAACAUACGUUAAUUUUUCACUCAUUUUGGAGUGAUUUGAUAAAAAUUAUAAGUUUAAGAACUAAAAGAAAUAAAAAAUUAAAUGGAGAGUUUAUAUAACUUUUUCUGAAAAGUUGGAGACCAAAAGAAUCAUUAUGGCUAAAAAAUAGUUGUUUUUCUUCUUCUUCUUCUUCUUCUUUUUAUUGGUAAUUUUUAGUGCUAAAAUGAAGAUGGUGUGGAACAGUUUCUAAUAUUAUUAUUGUUAUAUAUGUUUUCGAUCUCAUUAGAGCUAAUCUCACUGUCUAUAUAAAGAGAGAGCCUAAAUAUAAUUUGUUUAGCUUCUAUUAAACAUGUUAGUGCUCCUUUGUAUGAUCAUUUAACUCCCGUGAGUAGGGUUGAUAAAUAAAAUAAAAUAAUUGAAAAUCGAUCCAAAUCAAUGUGUUUAGACGGUUUAUGGAAUACAAAUUAAAAAAUCAAAAUUAUCCAAAACCGAACCAAAUUCUAUUCUUUAUUUAAUUUAUAAAUAAUUUUUAUAAUAUAAAAAUAAAUCUAUUAUAUUUAAAAAUAAUGAAAAUAAAUAUAUAUUAAAACUAUUAUAUAAAAGUAUUUGAUUUUUUUUAUUUACUUAUAAAAUUUUAAAAAAUGUCUAUGAAAAAAACUUUGAAAAUUUGUCAAAUGACAGUAAAAUAAAGUUUAUUUUAUUAAAAUAAUUAUAAAAAUUUAUAAUAAAUAAUCGAGCUAAACUAAAUUAUAAUGGAUGAAUAAAAUACAAUCGAAUUAAUCUAGUAUCACUUGAUUUUAUUGCACCAAACUAGACAUAAAAGAUUUUCUUAAAAAAUUUAAACUGCAAUGAGAUUGUUUUUCUCACUCUAACCUCCUAGAGGUGUUAUAUAAGUACAUAUCAUAUCAUAUCAUAAUUAUAAAUUUAAUUAUUUAAUUAUUUUAAAAAUAAAUAUAUUACAAAUUAAUAUUUAUAUAAUGAUAUAUUAAAUACAUGUAAAUUUAUUAUCAUAAAUAUAUUUUUAAUUAUUAUUUAAUAUAAAUAAUUUUAUUAUAUUUUAUUAUUUUCAUUUAUAUAAAAUAUAGAAUUUUGAGUUUAUAAUAAUUUCCAAAAAUAUAUAAUUUUCAUAAUCAAAUUUUAUAUGAAUUAAAUCUAAAUAAGUAGAUAUGUAAUAAUAAAUCAAAAAUUAAUAAAAAAAUAUAUUUAUUAAUAAAAUUAUUAUUUACCAUGAUUGCAAAUUUAGUAUAUAUUAUAUUAUUUAAUGUUAAAUAUGAUCUUUCAUUUUAAAAAUAUAAUUUAACAUCCUUAAUAAUCAAUUUAAGAUGAAAACAAUCUCUGGUUCCUUUUAAUUUUGAUAUCAAGUAAAUUGGUCCUUCUAAAAAAUUUAGAGCAAUUUUAUCAUUGUUAAUUUCAAAAUUGAGAAACUUAGGAUAAUUAAUCACAAUGUUAAUAUUUUUGUCAUCUGUACACACUUUUAUUGGUAUAAUAACAACUUUGGCCCCAAAAGUUUACACAUUCUGUCAAUUUAGUUCUAGUUUAACAAAAUCAAAUUGCAACAUUUACACAUUAUGUAUGUUGCACAUUAUGUAUGAACUGAGUUUGUUAUUAUACUAAUCAAAAUUAUAUAUGAGUGACAAAAAAUAUUAACAUUAUUGUUAAUUGUCCUUAGUUCACUUUUGAAAUUGAUAGGGAUUAAAUUGUUCCAUUUUUUUAAAAGGGCCAAUUUGCAAAAUAUUGAAUUUAAGAGGUAUCGAAGAGGUAUUUUUAUCCAUUUUUAACCUCACCUCACUACUACAGUUGUUAUCGAAUCCAAAUAUAUAUCCAACACUGAUUAUUAUCACAUCACUACAAUAUUCAAUCUUACUAUUACAACAACUAAUCUCACCACCAAUGUUACUUUUAAUUUCAGUAGAAUUGAUCCAAUUAUACAUCCAAAGAAAACCAUAAACUUAUCCAAAUACAAAUAAAACUAUAAACAACUUAUUUAGACAUAAAUUGAAAAAUAAAUUUUAUUAUUUGACACAGUAAAAAUAUAAUUACUUGCUUGAUUUAUACAUUUGUCCAAUAGUAAUGUAACCCAUUCAAUUUGGUCAGAUUGAAGGUUAUUCUUUGAUAAGAUAUUGUUAUUAUUUGCUUUGGGCAAACUUAAUACAACUUGAUUUACUCUUUAUUAAUUAAAAAAUUAUUUAUAUUUAAUUAUAAAAAGGUGUAAAUAUUAUUAAAAUAUCAAUUUUUAAUAUCAAAUGAAUAGUGAAAUAGGGUCAACUUAUAAAGGUUAAAGUAUUUAGGAAGUCCCUAUAUUAUAGACUAUAUCAAAAUAGUCUCUCAAUUAUUAAACAGAUCAAAUUUAUUCUUGUAUUAUUAAAAAAGAAUCAAAUUAUAUCAAAUUGUAACAGAAUUAACAUUUACUAUAACAAAUUUAACAUUAACAGAGUUAACAAUUUUCAAUACAUUUUGAUGCAAUAAAUGGUACCUUUGUUGUAAUUUGGUUUUAUUUGAUCCUUUUUAGUAGUAUAGAGACUAAACUGACCAUUUAAUAAUAGAGGGACUAAUUUGAUGUAGUCCCGAUAAUACAGGUAUUUUCACCCUUAUAUAUGUGCUUGAAUCUUAUUUUGGAUGAAAUUGAACAAUUGAAAAAGAUAAGAGCUGAAAAAGGUAAAAAUAAAUGAAAUUAGCACAUUAAAUUGUAAUCAUAUACAAAAGAUUCUUAGGUAUGAGUAGGAAUAUGGAUGCCAAACAUAUCGUAAGAUGAAGCUUCAAUUUUGGUUUGCUGACAAUCUUCUUUUUGGGAAGUCACAGCAAUUACGACAGUUUGAAUUUUUAACAUCUAGCGAUGAUUGUCAAAAUAUUAUACUAACAAAUUAGGCAUAAUCACCUAUUUAGCUCUCCAACUUUACAAUAAAAAAUCAUUUUAGCCCUUCAUUUAAAUUUUUGUCUCUUUUUGUCCUUAAACUUGCAUUGUUUAUCUAUUUUAUCUAUUUUAGGGUGAUUUGAUAAAUAAUACAAGUUUAAGGACUAAAUUGAUUUUUCAUAAAGUUAAAUAUAAUAGAGAAUUUAAAAAUAAGUGAAAAUAUUUAUAUUUUAUUUUAUAUUUGUUUAGGUUCGACUUGGUCUAAAAUAUAAACUUAAAAAGUCUGUUCAAAUUUGUAAACAACUAACUCAAACUCAUUUUAAAUCCACUCAUUCUAUUUUAAAAAAAAAUUAAAAUGUAUUUAUAUUAUUUUUAACUUAAUAUUUAAUAUUUUUAUGUUUUUAUUAAAAUUUUAUAUAUAGUCAUCUUAACAUUAAUAGUUUUAUUUUUAAUUAUUAAAAUUAAAACCUUAACCAGGACAACAUCAGUAUUUGAAUUUAGUUUCGUAUUUAUUUAAUUUGGUUAGCAUGUAUUAAUAGUUUUCAUAGUCUCUUUAGUUUUUGUUUUUUUGGGAUUGUGUAAAUUUUAAAAUUUUAGAUAUUUUUAGGUUCAUAUUUUCUUUUAUAAAUAUAUAUUGUAAGCUCUCACUAAUUUUUUCAAGCUUUUAGGAGUUCCUUCUAUCGAAGCAAUAUCAUGAGCAAAUCUAUAAUCAGUAUACAUGAGAAAGAAAAAAAAUAUAAAAUAAAAUAAAAUUUAAAAAUAGACUUGGACACUUAUGGAUGUUAAAUUUGUAAUAAGUUCAAGUAAAAGGGCUAAAAUAAUCAAACUAUCGUCUAACUCAUGCUAUGAAAAAAAAUAUAAUCACAGUUAAAAAAAUAUUGUAUAUUUCGAUGAAAGUCACAAUUUAUCUUUGGUCAUGCUUGUUCGCAACUAAACCGCUAUAAUGUAACUACAUGUUCAUACAAAUCUCGCGCUAGUCGACUUUGCCCUAUGAUCCAUUAGUCAGGGGUAUUUAUCCGAUUGAUUUGUCGGUUUUGCCUUUUUUAUACUUUAAGUAAAUGUGUAUGAAGUGUGUGAGUUCCAAAUUAUACUGUAACAAAAAUUGAAAAUACCUGACAAGAUCGAAAUGAAACAAAUUAAUACCCAAAAAAUUCUUCUUCAAUAUAGAAACUAAUGCACAACGAAAAUAAAGUUGGUAAAUUAGUGGGAGAUGAAAGAAGGGUAUAGAUGUUUUGUAAGAAGCCAAAAAGGGUUGUAAUUGUUGCAGGGCAUCCAUAUUCUCAUAUCCUCAACACUUGGUAAUUGAAUGGAGCUAAGCUAAGCAUUCAUUACUCUUGGAAUUGCUCAAUAUUGGGUGUUGCGUGAAGCCCUUUCAUUAAAUGAUAGUCCACAUAAUGUACACAAAAGGGCUUGAUGGAGGGGCGAGAUACUACUAAAAUAUAUGUCAGGGGAUAAAGCUAAAUAAUUUAAGAAUUCUUCAAUUCUUAAAAAAGUCCACUUAGCAAUACAAUUUUAGAGAUUAAACCUUAUUUCUUCAAUUCUUGCAUCUUCGAUUAAGGUCCACUUAGCAAUACAAUUUUAGAGAUUAAAAAAGUUACAUUUUCAUGUAAUGUUUCUUGAGAAUUUUUUUUUCUUUUUCAAAUUUUCAUUGAUUUAAUCUAACUUUAGAUAAAUUAUUUUUUAAUGCAAUCCAAUUUGAUUUAAAUACACAAAUAUAUAAUUAUGAUUCGAUUUGAUCUGUAUAGUUUAAAAAAUUACUCAGGGGCAAAACAGCUUAGCUACGACCCGCCUUUUUUUUCUACCCAUAAACCCUCUUUUUCUUUCUUUUUCUUAUUCACUCCAUGCAUCUUUUCUUUUCAGUUUACAGAUCUAUUUGUGGGUAUUUUUGUUGUCGUCACAAGUUGUGAUGGAUAGAUGAUGGCCCCUAUUAUUGUUUGAAACACCAUCGACCACCGACAGUUUCUUUUAGAAAGUAGGUAGCUCUUCGUUGACUUCUUAAUAUGUUUCUAUUUUUUAUAUAUUUUUUUAUUGUUUAAUUAUAAGUAUUCACUUUUAGAAGUUUUUUCUACUCUUAUAGUACGUUUUUUAGUCUUACAUGCAUUGUACAUGAUUUAUAUAUUUAUUUUUAUUUACUGAAUAAUAUAUUUUUAUUUUAUGUAAUUAAUGCAAAAAAAUAAUAUUAUUCAAAUCGUGGUACAUAAUUAAAAUAGUGCAACAAUAAAAAAAAUUCAAACAUUAAAGUUUGAAAGUAAAUAAUAAUGAAAUAAAUUUUUUAGUGAUUUUAACUUCUAAUUUAAUAAAAAAAAUUAAAACAUACAAUUCUUAUGUAUAUUUUAUAAGGGUUAAAAUAUUUGAAAGUUUAAAAUUAGCCCCUCUAUUAUUAAAUGGACCAAUUUUAUAGUAGUACUAUUAAAAAGAACUAAAUAAGGUUAAAUUGUUACAGAUUUAACAUUAAUAGAAUUAACAAAUUUCAAUAUGUUUUUUAUAAAAUAAAUGUUGACUUUGUUAUAAUUUAACUUUAUUUGAUCAAUUUUAAUAGUACAGGUAAUAAAUUAACCAUUUAAUGAUAGAGGGACUAAUUUGUAUGCAGUCCCUAUAGUACCGGUACUUUAACCCAUAUAUAUAUUUGAAGUUUAUUUUAGGAUGAAAUUGAUAAAUUGAAAAAAGUAAGAGUUCAAAAAGGUAAAAACAAAUGAAAUUAGCACAUUAACUUACAAUUAUAUACAAAAGAUUCCCUCUCUUUUCCCUCCAUAAUGUCUAUCACUAUAGUUUCCCCCUUAUGUAUAAUACUACUGCUCUGCUAGUUUUAUCGGACAAAAUUAUAUUCGCAUAUUAUAUUCUUUUUCUUUAUUGUCUUCAACCCGAUAACAAGUGAAUUACUAGUUACUUUACUUGAUUUUUUCAUGCCAUUUAUCUCUUUGAGUCAAGUAGCGAAGCAUUUCUGAUGGUUCUUAUGGCUAACAGUAAGUUUUCUUGUACAAGCUCUCGUACAUAUGCAUUUGUUAAACUAAUGCACUUUUUUAUUUUAUUUUCUUCAAUUCAAUUGGUUGUUAACGUAGACAUAACCGUGCACAAAUACUAAGGGACCUUGUAAUUUUGCCUGCCAUUGGCAGUACUUUGAAAUAGUGCUGAUUUUUCUCAGCAAUUAAAAAGGAAGAGCGCAGCAGACAAAAAUGAUGUUAAGUCUAGCCAAUGGAUAAGCAGUCCGGGGGUUACCUGUACAUGCUGAAGGAGGAAGGAUAAAUAAUAGAUCAAAGACAUCAAAAGCCAAUAAAUCAAUACCUCACACACCCGUGUCAAAUGCUGGUGCGAUACUAUUUCCUACUGGCUUAGUCCAUAGAAGGAAACUUAUGAUUCACUCCACGGCUCUAUCAUCAAUGCCUCAUUGCUCGAAUUAAGAGAGAUGGAUUUUGUAGACGAGGAAUCACUGACAUUAUAUAUGAUAAUUGGCAGUUUGUCCAUCUCCUCAUAUACCUGCUGGCAGCUGCUGUUUAGAUAGUCCUUUAGGUAAUCUUUACUGCCCAUUCUUUUUUCUUUUAACAUAGUCUGUUUUAGCUCCUUAACCUGCUACGGAUGGUGAGAACGACAAUAAUGCAGUCACCAUUUUUAGGUCUGUUGACGAAAAAGUUUGUCAAUCUGAUGAAGCAUGCUGAAGAUGGUAUCCUUGACCUAAAUAAGGCUGCAGAAAUAUUGGAGGUAAUGACAUACUAGUGAGCUUAUGUAUCAUUGGGUAUUUGUUGAGUAUUUUUUUCAUGUUACUUAAAGGGUUCUUUUGUCCUUUAUUUUUCCCUGUAAAUGUUGUAACAGGUGCACAAGAGGAGGAUAUAUGAUAUAACAAAUGUCUUGGAGGGCAUCUGUUGGUGCAAGAGGCAGCAACAGGCUGUUUUGUAUCUUGCUUGAAUAGCAAGCCUCGAGCCUUGGUGAAGAAACAAACUCGGAAGCAGAAACAGAAAAUGAAAACUAGCUAGUGAAAUAACAGAAAAGAGAGAAGAAGAUUUGAAUGACAAAAUGAGCUGAUCUUUUUCAUUAACACAUCAACAAGGCAUUAAGCCAUUACAUAUAUCAGUCAACAAGUAAAACAAACAAGUAAUCACCUAAUAACAUACCUAACACCACUAAAUUUCCUAGUAACUUGGUAAACUUGAUUGAAAAACAAAAACUUCUACCUAAACUUGUCAUUCAGCACCUAAUUACAUCAAAAUACAGUUACCAACUUAGUUCAAAACAAACUAAAACACAAAAUGUUCAUUUGAGUAACCAAAUGAAACAAUGCAAUUUCGGUUUGCUGUUAAAGCACGAUCCCUGCAUGGCCACCUUGCAUGGUCACCUUAGCUGCUGCAUGGGGGUUGACUUCAACACUCCUCCUCAGCUUCUAUGCAGCAGACUCCUAGUUGCUUCCUUAGAUUUACAAAUCUCGAUGCACCAAGUGAUUUUGUGAAGAUAUCAGCUAUUUGAUCUUCUGAACUGCAAUGAAUUAGCUUGAUCUCUCGAGCUUGUUCCAUUUCUCUUAUCACAUGGAGUUUGAUGUUGAAAUGUUUUGUCCUGCCAUGGAAGACAGGGUUUUUAGCAAUAGCAACUGCUGACUUGUUGUCACAAUGUAUCACAGUUGCAUCAUUCUGCUGUAGAUUCAAAUCACCCAAAAUUUUUCUCAGCCACAUAGCUUGAUUAACAGCAUUAGCAGCUGCUACAUACUCUGCUUCUGCUGUCGAUUGAGCCACCAUUGUUUGUUUUCUUGAGCUCCAACAAAUCAUAGCUGAGCCAAGUGUAAAAGCAUAGCCAGAAGUGCUCUUUAUAUCAUCCUUUGAACCAGCCCAAUCGCUAUCAGUGUAGCCAAUCAGUUUCAACUCUUCAGCCUUUCUAAACUGUAUUCCAUGGUUUAAGGUACCUUUGAUGUAUCUUAGCACCCUUUUUCCAGCCUUGUAAUGUUGCUGGUUACAGCAGUGCAUGAACCUUGAUAGCAUGCUCACAGCAAACAGAAUGUCAGGUCUUGUUGCUGUUAAAUACAGCAAACAACCAACAAGGCUCCUAUAAAAUGAUUCAUUAACAGGCUCAUGUUCUUCUUGGCUCGACAGUUUUAUGCCAACUGCCAUAGGUGUGCAUGUUGGCUUGCAAUUUUGCAUUGAAAACUUGGAUAAAACUUUCAAAGCAAACGCCUUUUGUCCCAAAAAGAUUCCUUGAUCAGCUUGUUGUAUCUCUAUUCCAAGGAAAUAAGUCAUCAACCCCAAAUCUGACAUCUCGAACAUCUCCUUCAUUUUUCUUUUGAAAUCUUCUAACAUAGUCUUGUCUCCUCCUGUUACAAGGAGAUCAUCCACAUAAAGAGACAUAAUAAGCUGUGUUUUUGCUUGAUCCUUCUUAACAUAAAGUGUUGGCUCACUAGCACUCCUUUCAAAUCCCAAACUGACCAAGUAUGAGUCAAUUCGAGCAUACCAGGCUCGAGGGGCCUGUUUUAGGCCAUACAAGGCCUUUCUUAGCCUGUACACCAAGUGUUCCUUACCAGGCAUUAUAAAACCUGGGGGUUGCUCGAUGUAUAUCUCCUCUUCUAGAAAUCCAUUGAGGAAUGCAGACUUGACAUCCAUUUGGUGGAUUGUCCACUGGUUCUGAGCAGUAACUGCAAUCAGCAAUCUGAUUGUAUCGAGUCUGGCUACUGGAGCAAAUGUUUCCAUGUAGUCCAGACCAUACCUUUGACUGAAGCCCUUUACAACUAGUCUGGCCUUUAGCUUGUUUAAGCUUCCAUCCACAUUGUGCUUCACUCGAUAGACCCAUUUUACACCGAUAGUCUUUCUGUUGGCAGGCUUUUCAACCAACUCCCAUGUCUGAUUCUUUACAAUCAUGUUGAUUUCAUCAACCAUAGCUUGUUUCCAACCUUCAUCUGCCUCAGCCUCUUCAAAACUGCUAGGUUCUGCUAUUGCAACCUGUGCCCUUUCAUAAAUAUCUUCUAGGAGCCUUGUGCCUCUCACAGGCACAUCAUCAACAUCCAUUUCAGGUCCUAGCUGCUCAAGUUCAGCUUGAUUAGGCACUAGGUCUUCUGAAAUUGCUUCUGGCUCAUUUUUCUCCCAAUUCCAACAGGCUUUUUCAUCAAAGAUGACAUCUCUGCUCACCUGGACUUUGUUUGUCAAGGGAUCCAGAACCCUGUAGCCCUUUUUGACUGAGCUGUAGCCUACUAGAACACCUGGUUGAGCCCUUUUAGAGAGCUUGUCUCUCUUUGCUGCUGGUAUUUGUGCAUAACACAGGCAACCAAACACCUUCAGAUGUGCCAAGGAAGGCUUGAAACUGAACCAAGCCUCGAAAGGUGUCUCGGAUGCAAGAGCUUUGGUAGGAAGCCUGUUCUGAAGGUAAACAACAGUGUUUACUGCCUCAGCCCACAUGGUCUUGGGCAGUUUCUUUUCAAACAGGAGACAUCUGGCCAUAUCCAUCAGACUUCUAUUCUUUCUUUCAGCUACCCCAUUCUGCUGAGGUGUGUAGACAUUUGUAAGCUGAUGUUUGAUACCAGCAUCAUUGCAUAUGGCUUGAAACUGAGCUGAAGUGUACUCAGUGCCAUUGUCUGUCCUUAUCGAUUUCAGCUUGUAACCUGUUUCUGUUUCUACAGCAUUUUUAAACUUCACAAACACUUGAGCUACCUCAGACUUGUGUUUUAAGAAGAAAAUCCAGCAAAACCUUGUAAGAUCAUCAAUAAAAAGGAUGAAAUACCUGUUUUUGCUGAGUGAUUCAGUCCUCAUCGGGCCACAUACAUCAGAGUGCACCAGCUGCAGUCUUUCAGUAGCUCUCCAAGCUGAAUUUGUAGGAAAUGGCAGUCUUGUCUGUUUCCCCAUCUGGCAAACUUCACACACAUCAUUAUGCUCCACUGAGCUGGUGAAGUUCUCUGCCAAGCCCUCUUUGGCCAAUCGAGCCAUUGAUCUGAAGUUGGCAUGUCCAAGCCUUUGAUGCCAAAGCUUGAAGUCAUCAACAGAAGUUGUGUAUGCUGAGUUUGAGUCAUUUGCCCAGUGAGCUUCAAAGCAUUUAUCAGUCAUUGUGACUGUCAUAAGGCUUGAUCCACUUGGAUCAGUAAUGUGGCAUUGUUUGUCCUUGAACACAACAGAAUAACCUUUCUCGAGCAGUUGAGCUAUGCUGAGAAGGUUUCUGUCAAUCUCUGGCACCAACAGCACAUUUGGAAUGAUCUUGUUGCCUGUGGGAGUACAUAUCAGCACUUCUCCUCUUCCUUCAGCCCUUAUAAACUGACCAUUUCCAACCUUGACCUUGGUUUUAUAACUUCUGUCCAAGGUUUUAAACAAGGAGGCAUCUGGUGACAUGUGGUUAGUGCAACCACUGUCCAGCAACCAGCCUUUUGAGCAUUUCUUCUCAGCAUCUAAACAGGAAACAGCAAAGACCUGUUCUUCUUGGUCACUACUGUCCUUAGCUACUCGAGCUUCAACCUUUGACUGCUGAAAUUGAUUCUGCCUUGGCUUACUCCUGUUUUUACAGACCCUUUCAACAUGGCCCUUCUUCUUGCAGUGUUGGCAUACUGCAUCUGGCCUAAACCAGCAUCUGUCUUCUGGAUGGCCAGGCUUCUUGCAAUAUCUGCAGGGCUGGUCAUUGCCCCUUGCAGCAUCAGGCUUAGGCCUGCUUUUCCAAGGCUUUUUGCCUCUUUGAGCAUUGGUGCUCGAGGCUUCUCUGGCCUUGGCUUGAAAUGCACCUUCUUGGUGAUCUUCAGCUCUGCUAGCUCUCCUUUGUUCCUAAGCAUAGAAGGUGUUGAUUAACUCAGUCAAAGAGAUGCUAGCAAGGUCUCUUGAGUCCUCUAGGGAGGAUAUCUUUGCUUCAUAUUUCUCAGGCAAAGUGGAGAGGACUUUCUCCACAAUUCUUGCCUCAUCAAAGUGCUCACCUAAGAGCCUUAUGCUGUUAACCACUGCCAUAAUUCUAUCUGAAUACUGCUUCACUGUUUCUUCUUCCUUCAUCUUCAAAUUCUCAAAAUCCAUUCUCAAGUUCAACAGCUGCUGUUGCCUUGUUCUCUCAGUGCCUUGAAACUCCUCCUUAAGCUUGUCCCAGGCCUGUUUUGGAGUCUCACAGGCCAUAAUUCUGGUAAAGAUGACAUCUGAUACACAGUUCUGAAUGCAGGACAUGGCUUUGUGCCUUUUGGUCCUCUCAUCAGCAUGUUGUCUGAUUUGAGCUACUGUGGGAUUAGCCCUCAGUGGUGCUGGCUCAGCAUCCGUGUUAACAACUUCCCACAGAUCAAAGGCCUGCAGGUAAGUCUUCAUCUUUACCAGCCAUAUGUGAAAGCUUUCUCCAUUGAAGACUGGUAGGGCUGCUGGUGAAAAUCCUGAAGAAGCCAUCAGGUUCCUUGGUUUGAAGCAACAGGUCCACUAAGACAACGGCUCUAGAUACCAAUUGUUGGUGCAAGAGGCAGCAACAGGCUGUUUUGUAUCUUGCUUGAAUAGCAAGCCUCGAGCCUUGGUGAAGAAACAAACUCGGAAGCAGAAACAGAAAAUGAAAACUAGCUAGUGAAAUAACAGAAAAGAGAGAAGAAGAUUUGAAUGACAAAAUGAGCUGAUCUUUUUCAUUAACACAUCAACAAGGCAUUAAGCCAUUACAUAUAUCAGUCAACAAGUAAAACAAACAAGUAAUCACCUAAUAACAUACCUAACACCACUAAAUUGCCUAGUAACUUGGUAAACUUGAUUGAAAAACAAAAACUUCUACCUAAACUUGUCAUUCAGCACCUAAUUACAUCAAAAUACAGUUACCAACUUAGUUCAAAACAAACUAAAACACAAAAUGUUCAUUUGAGUAACCAAAUGAAACAAUGCAAUUUCGGUUUGCUGUUAAAGCACGAUCCCUGCAUGGCCACCUUGCAUGGUCACCUUAGCUGCUGCAUGGGGGUUGACUUCAACAGCAUCCCUUCAUUUGAAUACGGUUUGGAACCCUAAAAAAACAUAAAUGUGUUUUUUCCUGAGUUGGCACGUAUUUUGCAAUAAGAAAAAUAAAGAGUACAAUUAAGAUGUUUACGCAGUUCGAAACUUGUCCUACGUCUGCGAAGCUUUGCCCAAAGAUGAAUCCACUAUGAACUUCAUAGAACAAAGAAAUGAUUUAAGCUUAUCCCCUAAAACACUUGAUGCAAUCUCACUUUUGUACAAUUAAGUAAAUUCUCUCCCAACUCAUUUUAGCUAUGCAAGUGAAAAUUCACAUUCAACUCUCAGAUGGUUUUCCUACUAUGAAUCAAGCUCUUAAUAAGCUCCAUGUAAAGUGGAAUAAUGAAUUUUCCAAUGCAAUAUGUCUCGCAAUUGUCAUGCUUGAACAACGACUCUUCCAAAACCAUCAAUGAACCUGAAAAUUAUAAAUUGCCAACAUAGAAUAUGUUACAAAUCCCAUUAUUAUCAGCCUUAUAUUUGCACAUAUGUGUGUUUAGUAUAAUGCUGUUGAUGUAUAAAUAAUGAAACAUUUUAGCAACUUCAACCUCACCACCAAAUAUUCUGAAGUAUUUUCCUUUUUUUCCUGUUUGGACCUUCAAUAACAAAUUUGGCUGGAAUUCCGAACAGCUAAAAGAGUGUCCUGCAUCAAUGAAUAUUAUGAAUUUGAAUACCUCCAAAAGCCUGUCAAUAGCACAUGUAACAUCUAAGAUAGUAAUCAGUUGGCAUAUAUUAAGAGAAAACAUAAAUUUAUAUAAAGAUAUGAUAGGUAAGUGCUUAAAUGAAGAAAGCAGAUCAUAUAGUACGACCAUUUUGAAGGCUUCAUAGGCCUCUCUCUCCACAUCAAUGGUUUUUUAGAAUUAAAUUAUUAGAAGCAAUUGUCAAGUUAUAAUUAUGAUUUAAACGUAAAAAGGAAAUAGACAAAUGAGCACCUCUUUUUGUGCAUAUAAAAUGAUUGAAGUUGACUAAUGCCUUUCGCCAAUGCCUUACUGCACAAAUCAGCAAAAAUAUUAUGAAAGAGGAUAAGUAAAAAGUAGGAUUAAAACAAAGGGAUUUUAACAAGGAAAUUAACAGUAUCCAACUUCAAUGAAAAAUGGAUAAGGUCAUCAAAAUAAAUAAAUAAAUAAGACAGACCAACCUGAUUCAACCCAAUGCUGGGGAUGUGAGCAAUCCUUUGCCAUUCAGCGCCAAUGCCCUUCGGACAUCUUUCCUCCAACUGAGGAAUUUCUCCUAUUUGUAAAUACUCCAAACUGGUCAGGCAACGCAUCUCGUCCGGAAGAGAUGUUAAAUUGGGCAAAUUAACUAGAUAAAGCUCUUGCAGAUUUGUUAGAUGUUGAAGCCACUCCGGAAGAUGCCGACACUUUGGAAUAUUUUGCAGCCAUAGAGAGCGUAGGCUUGUAUGGUCUUGGAAUAUUUGGAUGCCAGCUCCAGAUAACUCCAGCUCCUUGCAGUCCAUUACUUCAAACUCUUCAAGGAAAGUGAGAUGUUGGAACACAGGAAGCAGUGACCUCAAUCCAUUGCAGUUAUGAAUUUUUAAUGUUUUCAAUUGAACAAGAUGUUGAAGCCAAAUGGGGAGAGACACCAGCUUUGGAAUAUUAUAAAUCUUCAAAUGAGAGAGAUUCUUAAGGGGUUCCCAUUGCAUGCCCUCUAAAUCAACCUCCUUGCAAUCUCUUAUUGUUAAUCUUUUGAGGCUGGUGAGAUGUUGCAGGCACUCAUCUAGCGUGUGAGUGUCCAACCCCUCAAUGUUGCCUACAAGGAAAGAUUUCAAUCUGGAGAGAGGAAGAGAAGAGGUUGAAGUUGAUGGGGUCGUACUAGUGAUGUUCAUCUUCAUGGUCUGCUUUAACGGCCUUGAACUGGUAUUCCUCAACUUUAGCUUAUCAUCGAGUGAAGGAUACAACGGCAUUGAUGUCAAAGGGCAAUUUUGAAUUGUUAAAGAGGAAAGACAAGGAAAUGCCAUGGUUGAUGGUCCCAUAUCUGUUGUGUCGUCCUCGUUGGAAUCAUCAUCGAUUGGUUUUGUCGUCCUCCACCAACUCUUCAUAUUUGGGCAAUCCUGUAGGCAAAGAUACUUAAGCGAUGGGAAGAAUGAUUGUGGUUCUCCUUGACUUCCUUUUGGGCUAUUAUCAUCCAUGUACUCCAGUUCAGUUAAAUCACAAAUUACCAAAUCUUGAAGACAAGGAAAUUGAGCAAAGGAUGGGAGAUGUUUGAAUUUACCACCACGACCCAUUAUUUUAAUAUGGACGAGAUUUGUGAGAAAAGAAAUCCAACUUGGAAACUCAGCAUCACCCCUCCAUCCUGUAAUAAAGAGCUUCUUGAGAUUAGGAUGGGGCUGGAGGUCUUCAAGUGACUUCUCAUAAUCAUCUUCAUCAUCAAUAUCAACAUUCCAUUCUAAAACCAACGAUCUCAAAUGUUGCUUCUCUUUCAAAUUAGCAGCCUUAAACUUCUCUUUUGCAUUUUUUACGAAUCCCAAAUUUGUUAUUUCUAGAUGUCCCCUUAAGUUAUUAAGCAGUCUCAAUUCACUUAGAUCUGCACCGCCAUGGGACCCAUCUUUAUCCACUACAAACAUGCUUAACGUCUCAAGUGAAGUCAGCUUACCUAUUCCACAUGGCAUAUGAGUUAAGCCAUUACAAUCUUCACACCCAAGAUGGGUAAGAUUCACCAAUUUUUCAAUCUUCUUUGGCAAUUCUUUAAGCCCAUCACACAAGUCAAGUUUCAGCGCUAGCAAAGUCUGAAUCUUGCAAAUACUCUGUGGGAGAAUCUUAAUGCCGGGAUUAUUAGAAAGAUCAAGGUACCUCAAAUAUUUCAACUUACAAAUGGAGGGUGAAAUCUUUUGAAUACCUAUAGAAUCCAAUUUCAAUACACGCAAGCAUCUACAAUUUGCAAUUAUCAAAUCCGAAGUUUCAUAGCUGAAAUUUUGAUCUAUGUUGUUUGGAAAGUUUAACAAGGUUCGCAACUUCUUUCCCUUAAAUAAAGGAAUUAAUGAAGGUUUAAUUGAUAUGUGGCGACAUUUUUCACCAACAUCACUUGCAAUUUUUUUGAAUCUACAAUACUACUCUCCAUCCCUGCUACUGAUUCAGCUAGAUCAUGCAUUAAAUCAUGCAUUUUACAUGUCAUAUCUUCCAUCAAGUCUCCUUCUACCUCUUGGAAGAAACUUCUUUCAAUUAAAUCUUUAAAAUACCCAAAUCCGAUCUCCUCGAGAGAUUGACUUUGAUACAAUUUCUUUAUGAAACCCUGUGCAAUCCAAAAUUGAACAAGCGCUUGUACUUCAAUUCUGUAAUCUUUUGGAUACAAUCGGCAAUAAGCAAAGCAAUGCUUCAAAUGAGACGGGAGAUGAUCAUAACUCAAUUUCAGUAUAGGUAGAAGUUCUCCUUCAAUUUUUGAAAUUUUAGCAAGUUCAUUUUCUUUGAAAGAAUGCCACUCAUUUGCAGUUUUCUUCAAAGAUAAUGUACCAGCUAUCGUCCUUAUGGCUAAGGGAACCCCACCACACCUUUCCGAAAUCUGUCUCCCUACUUCCACAAAGGCUGAAUUUGUUGAGUCUGCAUGUCCUUGCUCAAAUGCUAUCUUUUUGAACAAAGACCAAGCAUCAUCAUCAGACAAGCCUUUCAAUUUCAAAACAUGGGAUUGACAUUUAUUAGUUAUCUCCGCUACCCUCAGAGAUCGAGUAGUUACUAUUAUCCUACUCCCUUUAGCCCCACCCACCAAUAACUUCUUUAGCCUAGACCACUUUUCUAGGUCCUCAUUCCAAAUGUCAUCCAAAACAAGCAAAUAUUUUUUCCCAUCAAUUUUAUCUCGAAGUUGUUUUUGCAAUUGAUCCAUUUCAAGAUUUUGAUCAGGUGCAUGAUGAGUCACAGAUUUGAUAAUGUUUGCUACAAUAGCUUUCACAUCAAAAUCAUCUGAAACACACGCAAACAUCGUUAAGUCAAAAUGAUUUUUGACCUUUCAUGGUUAUAGACAAGUUGGGCCAAAGCAGUCUUCCCUAACCCUCCAAACCCCACAAUUGGAAUGAUAUAAACAUUCUCUUCACUUUGAAACUCCAACACGAGUUUUAGAAGAGCUGCUUUAUCAUCAUCCCUCCCUAUUAUGUCAUCUUAACACUCAAAAGAGUGCGUUUGCUGCCUCCUUUUAGUCAUGAAAGAGGUUUUCGCGGGGCGAUCAUGCGGAAUGAAGCCAAAAGUGUUGGUCCCGCUUUCAAUUGAAGCUAAUCUCGCCUUAAUGGCCUUCAUUUUCCGACCCAUUUUGAGACCAUAAGCAAAUUGGUUUGAGGUUGAGAAGAAAAGGCGUACCUCUUUCGUCAGCUUGUUCCCACCCGAUACAUCUUUCCGCAAAGCUUCAGUAGAGAAAUCAUCAAGCAAGUCGUCGGCAUCAUAAAGUACAUCUUUCAGCUCUUCAAGCCAAACUUUGACGAGAUUGUCAGUCACCGAUUUCUCUUCUGCGUCAAGAAGCACAGCUUUGAUUUGACAGACAGUGCGUUUGAGGUCGUGGAUGUCAUGUUUUAGAUUCCACCACAGCCCAACUUGAGAGAGAGCACGAGAGCUCAACUUAAUAAUGAGCUCUGCGGCAAUGUCGAAAGCAAUUGCUUCGGCCAUUGGUGGUUCAAACUGAAAUCAAUGCAAAAAGUGUUUGAUUCGUGAAAGAGGAGGACUAAUAUGAGAAUGAUUCCAACAAGAUGAAACACAGAUGUAGAUCCAUACACGCGGAGACUGAAGUAUAUUUAUAGAUGUUACCAUCCACCCAGCAAGUAGUAUAAUUAAAUAAAAAGUAAUUUUAAGAGAUUCAUUAAUAUAAUUAUUUGUCUAUGCAAUAUGUCAAAGUAAAAUGUAAGAGGUUGAUUUGGCAUAUCCCAAAACAUUUUGUUAUAGUUUGGAUGGUCAUUCUUGUCAAGUUACCUAUCAUUGGCAAAGCUUGGUAGAGACUCUUAAAAUGGUAAAUUUUUAAUUUAAACCUUUUAUAAUUUAUAAAAUUUUAAAUUAAUAAUGAUAAAAUUAUAAUUUAAUCCUCUAAAAAUUUAUAAAAAAAUUAAUUUAACUCUUUAAAAAUUAUAAAAAUAUACUACUAUAAAAAUAUAUAAUUUAAUUCUGACUAAAAAUUUUUUUAGCUCGGCUACCGUUGCCUAUAAAAGAAAAAUAAAUUUCGUUUUCCACACAAUAUGUGGAGAGAUAUUGGGUUUAUGUCAGCUCCAUGGGAAUGUAUUUUAUUGGAAUUGAAGGAAAAAUCAUUACUUAUACCCUCGUGAAGAUUGCUUCCAAUGCCCAUAUCUAUUUAAUUAUUUUAUUACUCAUAAAAUUGUUUAUUGUGAGUUGGAUGCUUUUGGUUUGAUUAUUUAAGAUGUUUUAUUUUUAAAUAUAUUCUUAAUUAUUUAUUUUACAUAUACAUGUAUUUUAACUUAAUAUAUUUAAUAGUGAUUUUGUUUUUUAUAAAAAAAGGACCCAAAGGUACUACCUCAUUUUAAGUUGCAUCAUAAAUUACAAUGUUAUGGAUAUCGCUAGGAUAAUUCAUCCCAAAAGACAAAUUACAACACUUAGAAAGAGCCCAAUUACGAAGAGAAUCGACUAAUUUGUUACAACCACGUUUCACCCAUUUGACCUCGGCGGAAACAAAAGAAUCAAGCAUCUUGUGAGCUCAUUGAUGCAGUGAUCAAGGGUCGUUAUGUCCUCUUUGUGAAAACUAAAGCGGUUGACAAUGCUAGCACAAUCUGCUUCAAAUGACAUUAUCGGCUUCAAAAAAUUGAGCAUGCCGAAAACCAUCGAUGAGGGCAUCUAAUUCUGCUUUAAUAGUGAUUUUUUAUUCUCAUUUUAUCGGUAUAUUUGUUGGAACAUUUUCAAAUAUUUAUAGUGUUCCAAUAACUAUAAAUGAAUGGGUGUAAUUAAUCAAAAGAUUACAUUAUUUGAUUUUUUUGAAAAAGAGUUAUAACUAUUUAAAUAAUAUUAUUUGAAUAGUUAUAAAUGUAUAAUUAUGUGUUUAUUUUUAAGACAUUAUUAUUCAGAAAGACACCUAUUGAUGAAGAGACAUGAAAAUUUCUAUAAGUAGGAAUGGAAUUUCAUUUGGAAAACAUACCAAAAAAUUCUAAAUAUUCUUUCUUUCCUUCAUUCAUUUUCUAAUAUUAUUAGAUUAUUCUAUAAAGUAUUACUGCAGAAAUUCUUUGUAGAAAUUGAGUUUUUGAUAUAUAUUGCUUAGUGCUUAGUGGACUAUUCUCGUCAGUGCAAAACGCAAAUAGUCAUUAGCUUCAUUGUAUCCUCGAGGUUAAUUUGCUUGAAACUCAUUUGCACACCGAAGAUAGGUGGGGGUGAAUAUAACCUUAAAGAUAGUGGCUUGAUACACGCCUUGGAGCAUUGCCAUUUUUCUUCUUUUUCUGUUCGAGUUCUGUUUGUGUGUUCGAGAUUUUUCUCACUGGAGUUUUGUACUAACAAUUUUAAGGUUAUAAUUCAUGAUGACUACCACAACACAUGAAAGUGGAACACUAAGGGAGUUGGCUUCCAACUUUGUUAAACUUGAUCGGUUUGAUGGUUGUAAUUUUCGACGAUGAUAGAAAAAUAUGCACUUCUUAUUAUCAACUUUGAAGAUUGCUUAUGUUUUGGAUACUCCAAGACCUGAAGAGAAUGAAAACCAAUCUGUUGUUGCAACUUGAGAAAGAUAAAAAUGGGACAAUGCUGACUACAUGUGCAUGGGCCACAUAUUGAAUGGUUUAUCUGAUGGUUUGUUUGACACCUACCAAAACGAGGUCACCGCUAAAGAAUUAUGGGACAAAUUGGAGACAAGAUACAUGACUGAAGAUGUUACAAGUAAGAAAUUUCUUGUCAGUCGUUUCAAUAAUUAUCAAAUGGUUGAUGGUCAUUCUAUUAUGGAACAAUUCCGUGAUAUUGAAAAGAUGUUGAAUCAAUUCAAGCAAUAUGAUAUGAAAAUGGAUGAAAUGAUUGUUGUAUCCUCCAUAAUAGACAAACUUCCUCCAUCUUGGAAAGACUUUAAAAGAAGUCUAAAACAUAAGAAAGAGGAAAUAUCUCUUGAGGCUUUGGCAAAUCAUCUUCGUAUUGAAGAAGAGUAUAGAAAACAAGAUCAAAACCUAAAUUCUGAAAAUGCCAAAGUGCAUGUUACGGAAGAAGUACAGACUACUAAACCAUUCAAGAGAAAGUUUAAACAGACUGAUAAAGUACCUAAGUUCAAAAAGAAACAAAAGGGCUCAUGCUAUCAUUGUGAAAAAUCGGGACAUUUCAAGAAUGAAUGUCGAUUUUUAAAGAAGAAAUCAUCUUUUAAGGCUGAUAAUAACGAAAAAUUCGUUGCAAUGAAAUCUGAAAUUAAUAUGGCACAAGAUGAAAGUACAUGGUGGAUUGAUACCGGAGCAACCAAACAUGUGUGCAAAGACAAAAGCAUGUUCACAAAGUCCACACAAUGAAAAAAUGACAAUGUCUUGUACAUGGGAAAUUCUUCCACCGCAGCAAUCAAAGGCAAAGGGUCUGUUGAACUACAAUUCACUUCUGGAAAGGUUUUAACCUUAAAUGAUGUAUAUUAUGUACCAGAAGUUUGAAAUAAUUUAGUGUCUGGAAGUCUGUUGAAUAAGUUUGGUUUCAAACUUGUUUUUGAGGCAGAUAAGUUUAUUUUGUCUAAGGGAGGAAUUUUUGUGGGGAAAGGGUAUAUGUAUGAGAGCAUGUUCAAACUCAAUAUUAUUAAUAAAAAUAAAAAUACUAUUUCUACUUAUAUGGUUGAAUUUUUUUGUUUGUAGCAUUAUAGAUUAGGUCAUUUGAAUUAUAGAAAAUUGAAUGACAUGUAUAAGUUAGAUUUAAUUCCUAUUUUUAAUAAUAACAUUGAAAAAUGCAAUACAUGUAUGUUGACUAAAAUUACAAGAAACCCUUUCCCUAAGGUUAAAAGGAAAACAAAAUUGCUUGAUUUGAUACAUAGUGAUUUAUGUGACAUGCAUAAUACUCCUACAUUAGGUGGAAAGAAAUAUUUUGUUACUUUUAUUAAUGAUUGUUCUAGAUAUUGUUAUGUAUAUUUAUUGCAUUCAAUAGAUGAAGCGCUUAAUAAAUUUAAAGUUUAUAAAUCUGAAGUUAAACUUCAGUGUGAGUCAUUUAUCAAGUGCUUAAGAUCAGAUAGAGGUGAAGAAUACUAUAAUCCAAGUUAUUUUGAAUCCACUGGAAUUGUCCAUCAAGUUUCAGCCCCUUACACACUACAACAAAAUGGUGUAGCUGAAAGGAAAAAUAGAAUCUUGACUGAAAUGGUAAAUUCAAUGUUAUCAUAUUCAGGUAUUGGACAAGGUUUUAGGGCGAAGCUGUUCUAACAACUUGUCAUAUAUUUAAUAAAGUUCCUAAUAAGGAAACUAAAAUAACCCCCUAUGAACAAUGGAAGAAAAGGAAACCAAACCUUAAUUAUUUGAAGGUUUUGGGUUGUAGAGCUAUUGUAAAAGUUCCAACACCUAAACAUAAAAAGUUAGGUGAAAGAGGAAUUGAAUGCAUAUUUAUAGGUUAUGCACAUAAUAGCAAGGCAUAUAGGUUCAUGGUAAUUGAACCAAAUGAUUCAAUUUCAAUUAAUAAUGUUAUUGAAUCAAGAUAUGCUAUUUUUGAUGAAAAUAGAUUUAAUUCUAUAUCAAGACAAUUACAGCCACAACAAUUGAUUCAUUCUUCAAAUGAGAAUGAGAUUCCAUUGGAACAAAUUGAUAAUAAUAAUGAAUCUUGUCAAGAAUUAAGAAGAAGUAAGAGGAUUAAAAAGGUCAAAGAUUUUGGACCAGAUUUUAUUAUGUUUCUUGUAAAAGAAAAAGGUGAAAGUAUAUGCAAUAAGAUACCUUAUUGUUAUAAUACAGAAUCUGAUCCUAUUACAUUUGAAGAGGGCAAUGAAAUCUCAAGACUCUACUUUUUGGAAAGAAGCAAUAAAUGAUGAGAUGGAUUCAAUAAUGGGAAAUCAAACUUGGAUCUUAGUUGAUCUUCCACCAGGUUCUAAACUAAUAGGUUGUAAAUGGAUCUUCAAAAAGAAAAUGAAGGUCGAUGGAACCAUUGAUAAAUUUAAAGCAAGGUUGGUAGCCAAAGGUUUUAUACAAAAACAAGGUAUUGAUUACUUUGAUACCUAUGCUCCAGUAGCAAGAAUUGCUACAAUUAGACUCUUAAUAUCACUUACCUCUAUAUAUAAUUUAGUUUUUCACCAAAUGGAUGUUAAAAUUGUAUUUUUAAAUGGUGAAUUAGAUGAGGAAGUGUACAUGGAGUAACCGGAAGGAUUUAUUGUUCUAGGACAAGAGCAUAAGGUAUGUAAGCUUGUUAAAUCUUUAUAUGGGCUUAAACGAGCACCAAAACAAUGGCACCAAAAGUUUGACAAGGUUGUUUUAGCUAAUAGCUAUAAAAUAAAUGAAUCUGAUAAGUGCAUAUAUAGCAAAUUUGAAAAUGGAAAAGGUGUCAUAAUUUGCUUAUAUGUAGAUGACAUGCUCAUUUUUUGCACGGAUUUGGAAUAAAUAGAAAACACAAAGAAAUUCUUGUCAAACAACUUUGCUAUGAAGGAUAUGAGUGUAGCAGAUGUUAUUCUUGGGAUUAAAAUAACCCGAGAUGAAAGCACUAUAGCUUUAUCACAAUCACAUUACAUUGAAAAUGUGCUUAAAAAGUUUGAUCUUUUCAACUGUAUACCAGCAUCUACACCCAUGGAUCCUCAAAUAAAAUUAGUAUCUAAUGCUAGUAGGAAAAUUGAUCAAUUGAAAUAUGCAAGUCUAAUUGGUUGUCUUAUGUACAUAAUGACUUGUACAAGACCAGAUAUUUCAUAUGUUGUUGGAAAAUUGAAUAGGUACACAAGUAAUCCAAGUAGUUUGCAUUGGCAAGCUUUGAAUAGAGUACUUAAGUACUUAAAGAAAACUAUUAACUAUGGAUUGUGUUAUAACAGAUAUCCUCCAGUUUUAGAAGGUUAUUCGGAUGCUAGUUAGAUUACAAGUUUGGAAGAUCAUGCAUUUACUAGUGGAUGGAUCUUCAUUCUUGGUAGAUGAGCCAUUUCUUGGGGUUCCAAGAAACAAACAUGUAUUACUAAUUCCACCAUGGCAGCAGAAUUUAUUGCAUUAGCUGCUGCAUUUAAAGAGGCAGAAUGGUUAAGAAAUUUUCUUUAUGAUGUACCUUUAUGGCCUUAGCCAAUUUCACCUAUUUCUAUCCGUUGUGAUAGUGAGGCUACUCUAGCAAAGGCAUAUAGCCAAGUAUAUAAUGGAAAGUCUAGACACAUUGGAUUAAGACAUAGUUAUGUCCGAUAAUUAAUCUCUGAUGGAGUGAUCACUAUUAAUUAUGUGAGGUCAAGUGAAAAUUUGGCAGAUCCUUUGACAAAAAGUCUUGCUAGAGAUAUAAUAAAAAGGACCUCAAAAGGGAUGGAACUCAAGCCCAUUAAUUAGAGUCACCCAUGAUGGAAACUCAAAUCAAUGCUUGGUAUAACGUCAAGUCUUGAGUUCAAUGAGACAAAGUACAUCAUUAGUAUGUGACUGUUAGCACUAUAAAUAAAUCCAUCCUAAGAUUAAAGUGCUAGGUAUCCGUAAUGAUAAGGAAAGGAUGAAUAAUGUACUCUUAACGGACCCAUAACAGAAAUAUGUUAGAGUGUUAUAAUUACGGGAACACUCUUAAUGGGAUCUACCUAUGUGAGUGGAAGUGCGGCCGCUUCUAGGAGCUCAAGGGUUUGACUCUGACAGCACUCAUGAAAAGAGGACACAGACAUAUGGCCAUAAUAGUGUCUUUAGAUAUUAUGCAUUGGCCGAUGUUGAAAUCAUUGUACGAGAUGUGUUCAGUUAAUCAAAUGGAAUAGUUGGUUCAAAGCUUUGUCUACCGUGCAUUUUUUAUUAACUUUAACAUAUAUUCACUAAGUGAAGGUUCAAUCGUAAGAUAUCUUCAUUUAUGCAAAUUGAUUUCCAAGAAUAUCAAAAUCUAAAAUAUUUUGAAAAUGGGGGGGAGAUUGUUGGAACAUUUUCAAAUAUUUAUAGUGUUUCAAUAACUAUAAAUGAAUGGGUGUAAUUAAUCAAAAGAUUAUAUUAUUUGAUUUUUUGAAAAGGAGUUAUAACUAUUUAAAUAAUAUUAUUUGAAUAGUUAUAAAUGAAUAAUUAUGUGUUUAUUUUUAAGACAUUAUUAUUCAGAAAGACACCUAUUAAUGAAAGAUGUCUCUAUGAAGAGACAUGAAAAUUCCUAUAAAUAGGAAUGGGAUUUCAUUUGGAAAACAUACCAAAAAAUUUCAAAUAUUCUUUCUUUCCUUCAUUCAUUUUCUAAUAUUAUUAGAUUAUUCUAUAAAGUAUUACUGCAGAAAUUCUUUGUAGAAAUUGAGUUUUUGAUAUACAUUGCUUAGUGCGUAGUGGACUAUUCUCGUCAGUGCAAAACGUAAAUAGUCAUUGGCUUCAUUGCAUCCUCGAGGUUAAUUUGCUUGGAACUCAUUUGCACAUCGAAGAUAGGUGGGGGCGAAUAUAACCUUAAAGAUAGUGGCUUAAUACACACCUUGGAGCAUUGUCCUUUUUCUUCUUUUUUUGUUCGAGUUCUGUUCGUGUGUUCGAGAUUUUUCUCACCGGAGUUUUGUACUAACAAUAUUUACAUUGAAUUCAAAUACAUAUUCUACAAUUAACUUUAAUCUCACUGUUACAAUACUUAACCUCACUAAAUUACUUGUUUAACAUGAUUAUCGUGAAUUUAUAGAAAGAAAAAUCACGAAGCAAAUGCAGAUGCACUUAUGUUUAAAGUGUUUUUAAUUGAACUUUUAUUAUUUUGAAAAAUAAAAGUAUAAUAACUUUUUUUGCAUUCCAACUUUAUAAAAGAAUUAUUUUAGCUCUUUAUUUAUUUCCCUUCUCUUUUAGUCUUUGAACUUACAUUUUUUUUGUCAAACCAUCCAAAAUGGGUGAAAAAGUUAACGUUUGUUAACUUUGUUGACAUGACAUAUAGGUGGAUUACCACGAGUAUGUCACGUUAGCAAUUAAUUAUUUUUAAAAAAUUAAAAAAUAUUUUCUUAUUAUUUUUUAAUUUUUUUAAUUUUUUUAAUGUUUAAAAUAUUUUUUAAAUGUUUUAAAAUUUUAAAAAAUAAUUAAUUGCUUAUGUGGCAUAUACAUGGAAAUCCGCGUGUAUGUCACAUCAGUAAAAUCAACAGACGUUAAAUUUUCACUCAUUUUGGAGUGAUUUAACAAAAAUUACAAGUUUAAGAACUAAAAGAAACGAAAAAUUAAAUGAUAAGUUGAAAUAACUUUUUCCGUAAACUUGGAGACCAAAAGAAUCAUUAUGGCAAAAAAUAGUUGUUUUUCUUCUCUUUUCUUCUUUUCUUUUUGGUAUCUUUUAGUGCUAAAAUUCAAGAUGGUGUGGAAUAGUUUCUAAUCUUAUUAUUGUUAUAUAUGUUUUCGAUCUCAUUAGAGCUAUAAUCUCAUUGUCUAUAUAAAGAGAGCCUAAAUAUAAUUUGUUCAGCUUCUAUUAAACAUGUUAGUGCUCCUUUGUACGAUCAUUUUCCUCCCGUGAGUAGGGUUGAGUAAAUAAAAUAAAAUAAUUGAAAAUCGAUCCAAAUCAAGGUGUUUAGACGGUUUAUGGAAUACAAAUUAAAAAAUCACAAUUAUCCGAAACCGAACAAAAUUCUAUUCUUUAUUUAACUUAUAAAUAAUUUUUUAUAACAUAAAAAAUCUUUUAUAUUGAAAAAUAGUGAAAAUAAAUAUAUAUAUAUAUUUUAAAAAUAUUAUAUAAAAGUAUUUGAUUAUUUUUAUUUACUUAAAAAAUUUUAAAAAAUAUCUAUGAAAAUAACUUUGAAAAUUUGUCUAAUGAUAAUUAAAAGCCGUAAAAUAAAGUUUAUUUUAUUAAAAUAAUUAUAAAAAUUUAUAAUAAAAAAUCGAACUAAACUAAAUUAUAAUGGAUGGAUAAAAAAAUGCAAUUGAAUUAAACUAAUAUCACUUAAUUUUAUUGCACCAAACUGCACAUAAAAGAUUUUCUUAAAAAAUUUAACCUGCAAUGACACUGUUUUUCUCACUAAAACCUUCUAGAGCGUGCAAUGUCCUCGCCAAGUAAGUAAAUUCAAUAGAGGUUGGAGGCUAAAGGUUGAUACAUAAAAGAAGGGGAGGGGCACAGUUCUGCUUCAACCAAAACCCCAAAUUUAGCAUCUUGAGUUGUUAAAAUAAGUAAAUUCACCAUACUUUUCCGUUAGAUUUUGGCUCUCUUCUUCAGCAGAAUGUGGCGUACAGUACAAGAAGCAGGGACCAUCCUUUCUACCAUGAUUUGAUUAUCUGCCCACAUAUUCCAACAAAACGAAUAUGGUAAUAAAUGUCAUCAAUUUCCUUCUAAUUUCCAAUUGAUCUGAUAGAAAUGGUGUAAUUCAAGAGUACUUGUAUAAUAUAUAUGCCCAACUGAGUACUAGAUGGAAUCUAUGCUGUUGACGGACUCUUGGAGGCAUGUUCGAGAGAGCUUAAACACAUUUAUAUUUUUCAGUGUUCCAUACAAUAUUCUAAUGAGUGUCGAAUUCAUUAAAAUGAUGUAAAAAAUAAUAUAAGGAGUAGGGUCAAUCCACAGAAAUUGAGAUAUCAACAUUUGUUGUUUGCUUCAACCAAGUUGCACGUCUAGAUUCUUAUCCUGCCCACGAGGUGUGACUGUCUGUGCAAAAAUAAAAAGAAAAAUUCUAAUGUAAUAAAAGUAAAAAUAAUAAAGAUAAAAAUAAGCAAAAAGGAAAUUAAAUUAAAUAAACUAAUAUGAUGGAAUUCAAGCUUUAAGCUCGAUUUUGUUCCAAUUUCAAACCAAUGCACGAUAACAAGUCUUCUCCUUCAACCGAUAAGCCAGUUAUAGUGAUCGAGGAUGCCUCAGACCACUAACCCUUCCAUAUGUAAAUUAAUUACGAGAACACCCAACAAUUAAUCCUUAUCGAACCAACAACCACAAAACACGCAUCCACGAUUUAGCUCUCUGGUAGCCUUGUGAGCUAAAAGGGUCCAUCUCGAACCAACAACGUCAAUUACGUGAGUCGUUUAGAUCCGAUUGCUAACUUCUUAGUUGGACACGCCAAUGUGUUCUUCGGAAGAUCAAAUACGACAAAUGCUCAAUCCGGUACUUCCAAUUGUACGUCUAUCAACACCGAAUCAACGAGCUAUUUUUAACAUGGUGUGAACACAACUUUGUGAGAUGCCAAUAUCUAUCUCCUAAAUCAGAGAAACAACAAAUACCGAAAUAAAAGUUUUUAAGUAUAAAUUUGGAUCUCACAGCUGUCUACUGGAUUAUUUAUUUAGCUACUAAUGAAAAUAUAUGAAAUAAAAGUAUAAAUAAAAUUUUAAAAAUAUGGAAAUAGGAUUGCGCAUGUAAGAGAGAAGUGAUAAACAAGUAUGAAUAAAAGAGGGGCAAAUUUUCCAAUAAUAAAGAAAAAAAAAUCAUCACCCUUUAAAAAAGAGUGGGCCAAUCUCACUUUUACCCUUUAAAAAAUAUAUACAAUAAUGUUGCAAUUGAUAAUUCUGCCCACCUUGUUCUUCUUUAUUCAUAACAUCAUGUGGUGCUAUUCAAGAAAAAUACAUUGAAAGCUGCAGAAAAUUUAUAAAGAAAGGCCGUCCGUUAAUAAAGUUUUUAAUAUAAAAUUAGUAACUUUUUAUUUAAUUAUUACUUAGUGGGUGGAUGGUGACAUCUUUAAAAUACAAUAUUGACUCUACGGGUAAUGUACGUAUGUAUUAACGCUUGUAUUUUCAUCUUGUUCAAAUCAUUUCACUCUUCCUCCUGCAAUAAUCAAACACUUUUUGCGUGCCAUCAAUGGCUGAAGCAUUGCUUUCGAUAUUGCUGGAGAGCUCAUUACUAAGUUGAUCUCUCGAGCUCCCUCUCAGAUUGGAGUAUGGUGGAAUUUCAAAGAUGACCUCGAUGACUUCAAACAUUGUUGCUGUCAUAUCUGAAUGGGCUGAUCUAUGAAAAUUAAAUUAACUCUAAUACUACUUAAUUGUUAGGAUCAAUCCAAUUAAGCAAUAAGUAAAUAAAAUAGCGGAAUAAAUUGAGAAAUUGAACACAUAAAUUUAACGUGGAAAAAUCCCUUUAAAGAGGAUAAAAACCACGAGCAAAUAUAAUUUUACUAUAAUGGCAAAAGAACGAAGAGCAUAAAAGAUGGAGAUAAAAACUAAACCCCGAAAACCCGAAAACAAAGAACCCUAAAAACAUAAACACAAAAUUCUCUAAAUGUGUUAUGAGUCUUAUUAUUAAUUAUUGGUAUCGUUGAUGUAGCUGAGCGUGUUAAUAUUUGUUGUUAGUGGUAGUAACAUUUUAAUUAUUUUAUUCUACAUUUAUUUGUUUAUUGAAGUGGGUUGAUGAUUUUUAAUUGUUUAUUUUUGGAAAUCUUGUUUCAUUCUUUUGUUCCAUGUCAUGUUGGAAAAAGAGUUCGAAUAAACAUGUUUGGAGUAUUAGGGUUGUAUAAAUCUAAAUUUUAAGAGAUUGUUGGUAAGUCAAGUAAAAAAAUAUUUUUUAGAAAAUUUAGUAUUUAUUAAUAUAAUAUAUAUGUUUAGCAUUUAUUAGCAUAAUAUAUUUGAGAUUGAUUAGAAUUAGAUUUUUUUUAACCUAUAAAUAGAUGUAGUUGAAACUCCUAUCGUAUCAUUUGAAUUCAAACAAUUAAUGCAAUAACCAUAUAAAAUGGCGUUGGUUUGGAUACCCCUUUGAUGUUUUGUCUUCGUUUUGGUGUUUGUUUUGGGGGUUGUGUCUCUUUGGGUUAAUUUUCAAUAUAUGUGUGCUGAUGAUGCAAUGAAUAAAGAAAUCAAAAGUUAUGCAGAAAUUUCAAUUCUGGAUGGUGCUGCAAUUAUAUUUUUAAGAGUAGUAGCAUUUUAUUUGUUAUUAACAUAUAUUUGUUUAUUGGAUACGUGUGUUGAUGAUGCAGUGAAUAAAGAAAUCAAAAGUUGUGCAGAAAUUUCAAUUUUGGAUGGCGCUGUAAUUAUAUUAUUAAGAGUAGUAGGAUUUUAUGUUUCUUUUAGAUGUACAUAUAUUUAUUAGGAAAGGGUUCAAGUUUUUUAUUUGUUUAUUAUUAGGGUUAAAUAUCAAAUUUAUACCCUAGUUUUGGUUCAAUUGUAUAAUUUGAUACAUGAAUUUUGAUUUGGUGCAAUUAUCUACAUGAAACUUGAAUUAUGGUUCAUAUAUAUAUAAAACUUUGAUUUUGAUAUAAUUGUACGCAUUAAAGAAAUGAAUACCUAUAUUUAUUUUCACAUUGGAUUAAUAUAAUUGUAGCGACCUAAAAUUUUUGCGAGUUAGUCGAGGUCGUUACGAAAGGAAAUCUUGGGUUGACGAUUAUUGAAAAUUCGGAAAAGGUCUCAAUUUUACUUAAAAAGAGAUGAGUCGCCACCGGUCCUUUUUCUAAGUGAGAUCAGACACCUACUAAAUUCUCUUUUUAAAAGAAAAUUUAUUUUUAAAAUUCUCUUUAAAAAAAGUCGAUUUUAGGUCUGCGUCAAAAUCCAAAGAAAAUUAGAGUUCGGGAGUCUGUUAUGCACAAAGAAUGUAUUAACACCCUCGUGGCGCCCAAAAUCGGUAUCCCAUUAAAUGCGUGUUGUCUUAAAUUUUAAAAAUACGAAUUCAAUUUAAUAUUUAAUCAUGAUUCGAUUGAAAAAUGAGAAUUUUGAUAAAUUACAUAUUAUUGUAUUGUAUAUAUUUUAGAAUGAAAUACUGAUAAUUUACGAAUAAAAAUAAAGAUUUUAUUUUUAAUGAGAGAAUUUUUUUAAUUUUUUAAUUUUUAGAAGGGCGUUCCGUAUUUAAAAAAAGUCAAUGAUAUCCACCCAACAUAGCAGUGAAAUAAAUGACUUAAUGCUAAAUCGGUUCGUUGCCUUAGGUAUUGAAAUUAUUUAAAUUAAAAAUUGUAAAUGAAAUAUUUCUAAAAGGCUGUUUAAAAAUGCUAAUUUAAUUAAAAUGAAACAAUAUUUAAAUACAUGGACUAAAUAAAUAAAGACAUGCACCUUUGUUGUGAGAUAUCUAGUGAGUUCAAAAAUUCUCUUCUGAAAAUGGUGGCUAUCAUGUAAUUAGUAGUAUAUUAUUUCAAUUUUGGUGAGAAUUGUAUUCUCACUUAAACGCUUAAUGCCAUUUGCUAAAUUUUUUGUGUGGGUGAUCUUUUGAUCUGUUCAUAAACCGAACUUUUCAUGGUGGCUAAGUUUCUUAGGGGAUAAAUUAUUAGUAGCAUUAUUUGUUUCUGCAGUGAAAUUGUGAUGCCUGUAUUUUAAAAUGUGAGGUAUUAUCGUAUUUGAUGAUAUAGUGGAGUUUUGGUAGAUUAAACGGAUCGUUUGCUGAGCUAAGUUGAAAUUGAAUGAAUGCUGGCCUCAUCCAAUGUCCAAAACUUGAUGACUUCAACAUUUUGAUGCCUUAAUUUGAGAAGACUGAGUUAGAGUACUAUAAAACUUUCUCAGAAUGCUGAUGAGGCAAAGAUCUAGUGAUCUAAUAUAAUUGCAAUUCAUAGUAUGGUAGUUUCAAUGCUUUCGUAAGAGAGGAAGAUUAUGUCAUGCUACUCCAUUCUCGGUUUAAAUCAGUGCUCUAUAUGAAGAAAGGUUGAUGGGUGUUAGUUCUUUUGAUGUCUUGUCUUUGAUGGAUGUUUGAAAAAUGAUUCAGUUGAUAUUCAUAAUGUCUAUCACUACAGUUUCCCCCUUAUGUAUAAUAUGUCUGCUAGUUUGUCGGUCUUCGUAUAUUACAUUCCUUUUUCUUAUUGUUUUCAACACGAUAACAAGUGAGUUAGUAGCUAUUUUACUUGAUUUUGUCAUGGCAUUUCAAAGAUGACCUCAAGGACCUCAAAAGCACCAUCUCCACAAUCAAAGCUGUGCUUCUUGAUGCCGAAGAACAAUCCAUGACCAGCAGUCUCAUCAAAGAUUGGCUUGAAAAGUUGAAAGAUGCAUUUUAUGAUGCCGAUAAUUUUUCUACUGAUGCUUUGCGGAAAGAUCUACUGAGCAGGAACAAGCUAAUGAAAGAAGUAUGCCUUUUCUUUUCAAGCUCAAACCUAUUUGUUUAUGGUGCCAAAAUGGGUCAUCAAAUUAAGGCCAGGAUGUUCAACUUGGUAGAGUGUGACCGUCCCAUUAAAACCUCUUUCAUAACUAAGAAGAGACAGCGAACACACUCUUUUGUGAGUAAAGAUGAAAUAAUAGGGAGGGAAGAUGAUAAAGCAGCUUUUCUAGAACACAUAUUAGAGUUCCAAAGUGAAGAGAAUGUUUAUGUGGUUCCGAUUGUGGAGUUUGGAGGGUUAGGGAUGACUACAUUAGCACAGUUUGUCAAUGAAGUGGUCAAUGAUCAUUUUGAGUUGAGGAUAUGUAAAGAUUCCAAACUGGUCAUCUCGGAAGCGAUCUUAAAUUGGGCAAAUCAGAGAGAUAAAGAAAUUGCAACCCAAUCCGGAAGAUACCGACACUUUGGAAUUUUUGCCAGCGAUAGAGAGCGUAGGUUACAAUGCCAUGGACAGAUCACAGCUCCACUUUCUGUAUAGUUUCAAAAAUUACUCGGGGCAGAAGGCAAUGGGAGCCACAGCUCUCCUUACCCCUCCCCCCUUCCAAAUUUGGAAAAUUCUCAUUAAGCCUUCAAUUUUUUUGAAAAUUUUAAUUGAACUCCUCAAUUUUUUUAAAAAUUUUUCCUAAGCCUUUAAUAGUUUUAUAAGUUUUAAUUAGACCCUUUUUUUUGAAAUUCUCAUUAGGUUCUUUAAAAUUUUUGAAAAAUUUAAUUCCACAUUUCGCUACCUUUCUUCUCUGAUAGUUUUAGUUUAUUUGAAUGCUUGGAAUUAGGCUUUCACAUUGUUACAUUGUUGAAAAUUACUUGUAUUUUGAUAAGGAAAACAAUGGGAAAAAUAACAAUUAGAUACUUGGAAUAUUGGCUUGUGCCAUGAUACGCCUUUAUAAGGUGUUAUUCAACUUGUAAUUUGAUGUGUGCCAACAUAAGCAUCAACACACAAGUCAUGUAUAUACAGCCAGGACAUCGACAUCUUUUGGAAGAGUCCUAAUCCAAGCAUCAUAAUUGAACAUAGCCUUGGAAUACCGUCUAAAAACAAUUAUUGUCUCAUAAUCAAUUGUGCAUCCCUGCAUUUGAAUACUGUUUGGAACCCUAAAAAAACAUAAAUGUGUUUUUUCCUGAGUUGGUACAUAUUAUGCAACAAGGAAAAUAAAGAACACAAUCAAUAUAUUUACGCAGUUCGAAACUCGUCCUACGUUUGUGGGGCUUUGCCCCAAGAUGAAUACACUAUGAACUUCAUAGUACAAAGAAAUGAUUUAAGCUCAACCCCUCAAACAUUUGAUGCAAUCUCACUUUUGUACAGUUUAAGUAAAUUCUCUCCCAACUCAUUUUAGCUAUGCAAGUGAAAAUUCACAUUCAACACUCAAAUGGUUUUCCUACUAUGAAUCAAGCUCUUAAUAAGCUCCAUGUAAAGUGGAAUAAUAAAUUUUCAAAUGCAAUAUGUCUGGCAAUUGUCAUGCUUGAACAACGACUCUUCCAAAACCAUCAAUGAACCUGAAAAUUACAAAUGCCAACAUAGAAUAUGUUACAAAUCCCAUUAGUAUCAGCCUUAUAUUUGCACAUAUGUGUGUUUAGUAUAACGCUGUUGAUAUAUAAAUAAUGAAACAUUUUAUCAACUUCAACCUCACCACCAAAUAUUCCGAAGCAUCUUCCUUUUUUUCCUGUUUGGACCUUCAGUAACAAAUUUGGCUGGAAUUCUAAACAGCUAAAAGAGUUCCCUGCAUCAAUGAAUAUUAUGAAUUUGAAUACCUCCAAAAGCCUGUCAAUAUCACAGGUACCAUCUAAGAUAGUAAUCAGUUGGCAUAUAUUAAGAGAAAACAUAAAUAUAUAUAACGAUAUCAUCGGUAAGUGCUUAAAUGAAGAAAGCAGAGCAUAUAGUACAACCAUUUUGAAUGCUUCAUAGGCCUCUCUCUCCACAUCAAUUGUUUUUUAGAAUUAAAUUAUUAGAAGCAAUUGUCAAGUUAUAAUUAUGAUUUAAAAGUAAAAAGGAAAUAGAUAAAUUAGCACCUCUUUUUAUGCAUAUAAAAUGAUUGAAGUUGACUAAUGCCUUUCUGCAAUGCCUUACUGCACAAAUCAGCAAAAAUAUUAUGAAAGAUGAUAAGUAAAAAGUAGGAUUAAAACAAAGGCAUUUUAACAAGGAAAUUAAUAGUAUCCAACUUCAAUGAAAAAUGGCAUCAGACCCCUGACUUGGAGAUUCAAUAUACCACUCCUAUUUUUCUUCAAAAAAAGAUGAGGUCAUCAAAAUAAAUAAAUAACAAAGACAGACCAACCUGAUCCAACCGAAUGUUGGGGAUGUGAGCAAUCUUUUGCCAAUCAGCGCCAAUGUCCUUCCGACAUCUUUCCUCCAACAGAGGAAUUUCUUGUAUUUGUAAAUACUCCAAACAGGUUAGGCAACACAUCUCGUCCGGAAGAGAUGUUAAAUUGGGCAAAUUAACGAGAUAAAGCUGUUCCAGAUUUGUUAGAUGUUGAAGCCGCUCCGGAAGAUGCCGACACUUUGGAAUAUUUUCCAGCCAUAGAAGGCGUAGGCUUGUAUGAUCUUGGAAUAUUUGGAUGCCAGCUCCAGAUAACUCCAGCUCCUUGCAGUCCUUUACUUCAAACAGUUCAAGGAAAGUGAGGUGUUGGAACACAGGAAGCAGUGACCUCAAUCCAUUGCAGUUAUGAAUUCUUAAUGUUUUCAAUUGAACAAGAUGUUGAAGCCAAAUGGGGAGAGACACCAGCUUUGGAAAAUUAUCAAUCUCCAAACAAGAGAGAUUCUUCAGGGGUUCCCAUUGCAUGCCAUCUAAAUCAACCUCCUUGCAAUCUCCUAUUGUUAAUCGUUUGAGGUUGGUGAGAUGUUGCAGGCACUCAUCUAGCGUGUGAGUGUCCAACCCCUCAAUGUUGUAUACAUCGAAAGAUUUCAAUUUGGAGAGUGGAAGAGAAGAGGUUGAAGUUGAUGGGGCCUUAGCAUUGAUGUUCAUCUUGAUAGUCUGCUUUAACGGCCUUGAACUGGUAUUCGACAACAUUAGAUAUUCAUCGAGUGAUGGAUACAGUGGCAUUAAAUUCAAAGGGCAAUUUCUAAUGUUUAAAGAGGAAAGACAAGGAAAUGCCAUGGUUGAUGUUCCCAUAACUGUUGUGUCGUCCUCGUUGGAAUCAUCAUCGAUUGGUUUUAUCGUCCUCCACCAACUCUUCAUAUUUGGGCAAUCCCGUAGGCAAAGAUACUUAAGCGAUGGGAAGAAUGAUUGUUGUUCUCCUUGACUUCCUUUUGGGCUAUUAUCAUCCAUGUACUCCAGCUCAGUUAAAUCACAAAUUACCAAAUCUUGAAGACAAGGAAAUUGAGCAAAGGAUGGGAGGUGUUUGAAUUUACUACGAAGACCCAUUAUAUUAAUAUGGACGAGAUUUGUGAGCAAAGGAAGCCAACUUGGAAACUUGGCAUCACCCCUCCAUCCUGAAAUACGUAGCUCCUUGAGAUUAGGAUGGGGCUGGAGGUCUUCAAGUGACUCCUCAUCAUCAUGGUUGCCACCGCCCCAUUCUAAAGCCAACGAUCUCAAAUGUUGCUUCUCUUUCAAAUUAGCAGCCUUAAACUUCUCUUUUGCAUUUUUUACGAAUCCCAAAUUUGUUAUUCUUAACUCUCCCCUUAAGUUGUUAAGCAGUCUCAGUUCACUUAGAUCUGCACCGCCAUGGGACCCAUCUUUAUCCACUACAAACAUGCUUAACGUCUCAAGUGAAGUCAGCUUCCCUAUUCCACGUGGCAUAUGAGUUAAACUAAAACAAUCUUCACACCCAAGAUGGGUAAGAUUCACCAAUUUUUCAAUGUUCUUUGGCAAUUCUUUAAGCCCAGUACACCCAUCAAGUUUCAGCGCUAGCAAAUUCUGAAUCUUGCAAAUACUCUUUGGGAGAAUCUUAAGUCCGGGAUUAUAAGAAAGAUCCAGGUACCUCAAAUGUUUCAACUUACAAAUGGAGGGUGAAAUCUUUUGAAUACCUAUAGAAUUCAAUUUCAAUACACGCAAGCAUCUACAAUUUGCAAUUAUCAAAUCCCAAGUUUCAUAGCUGAAAUCUUGAAUUUUUCUGUCUUGAAAAUGUAACAAGCUUCGCAACUUCUUUCCCUUAAACAAAGGAAUUAAUGAAGGAAUUAAUAAAGGAUUAAUUGAUAUGUGGCGACAUUUUUCACCAACAUCACUUGCAAUUUUAUUUGAAUCUACAAUACUACUCUCCAUCCCUGCUACUGAUUCAGCUAGAUCAUGCAUUAAAUCAUGCAUUUUACAUGUUAGCCCUUCCCAUGAAUAUCUUUCUCCUACUUCUUGGAAGAAACUUCUUUCAACUAAAUCUUUAAAAUACCCAAACCCGAUCUCCUCUAGAGAUUGACUUUGAUUCAAUUGCUUUAUGAAACCCUGUGCAAUCCAAAAUUGAACAAGCGCUUGUACUUCAAUUCUGUAAUCUUUUGGGUACAAUCGGCAAUAUGCAAAGCAAUGCUUCAAAUGAGACGGGAGAUGAUCAUAACUCAAUUUCAGUAUAGGUAGAAGUUCUCCUUCAAUUUGUGAUAUUUUAGCAAGUUCAUUUUCUUUGAAAGAAUGCCACUCAUUUGCAGUUUUCUUCAAAGAUAAUGUACCAGCUAUCGUCCUUAUGGCUAAGGGAACCCCACCACACCUUUCCGAAAUCUGUUUCCCUACUUCCACAAAGGCUGAAUUUGUUGAGUCUGCAUAUCCUUGCUCAAAUGCUAUCUUUUUGAACAAAGACCAAGCAUCAUCAUCAGACAAGCCUUUCAAUUUCAAAACAUGGGAUUGACAUUUAUUAGUUAUCUCCGCUACCCUUAGAGAUCGAGUCGUUACUAUUAUCCUACUCCCUUUAGCCCCACCCAUCAAUAACUUCUUUAGCCUAGACCACCUUUCUGGUUCCUCAUUCCAAAUGUCAUCCAAAACAAGCAAAUAUUUUUUCCCAUCAAUUUUAUCUCGAAGUUGUUUUUGCAAUUGAUCCAUUUCAAGAUUUUGAUCAGGUGUUUGAUGAGUCACAGAUUUGAUAAUGUUUGCUACAAUAACUUUCAUAUCAAAAUCAUCUGAAACACACGCAAACAUCGUUAAGUCAAAAUGGUUUUUGACCAUUUCAUGGUUAUAGACAAGUUGGGCCAAAGCAGUCUUCCCUAACCCUCCAAACCCCACAAUUGGAAUGAUAUAAACAUUCUCUUCACUUUGAAACUCCAACACGAAUUUUAGAAGAGCUGCUUUAUCAUCAUCCCUCCCUAUUAUGUCAUCUUCACGCUCAAAAGAGUGCGUUUGCUGCCUCCUUUUAGUCAUGAAAGAAGUUUCCGCGGGGCAAUCACGCGGAAUGAAGCCAAAAAUGUUGGCCUCCCUUUCAAUUGAAGCUAAUCUCGCCUUAAUGGCCUUCAUUUUCCGACCCAUUUUGAGACCAUAAGCAAAUUGGUUUGAGGUUGAGAAGAAAAGGCGUACCUCUUUCGUCAGCUUGUUCCCACCCGAUACAUCUUUCCGCAAAGCUUCAGUAGAGAAAUCAUCGAGCAAGUCGUCGGCAUCAUAAAGUACAUCUUUCAGAUCUUCAAGCCAAACUUUGACGAGAUUAUCGGUCACCGAUUUCUCUUCUGCGUCAAGAAGCACAGCUUUGAUUUGACAGCCAGUGCGUCUGAGGUCGUGGAUGUCAUGUUUUAGAUUCCACCACAGCCCAACUUGAGAGAGAGCACGAGAGCUCAACUUAAUAAUGAGCUCUGCGGCAAUGUCGGAAGCAAUUGCUUCGGCCAUUGUUGGUUCAAACUGAAAUCAAGGCAAAAAGUGUUUGAUUUGUGAAAGAGGAGGACUAAAAUGAGAUUGAUUCCAACAAGAUGAAACACAGAUGUGGAUCCAUCCACCCAGCAAGUUAAAGUUAUGUUGAUUAGUGGGAAAUGGUCCCUCCAUGUUUAUUGUUUGACACAAAUUUCUGAAUGGAGACAAAGUUGGGAUGAUGACACUUUGGGUGCUGUGCACAAUGUGGAGCCGUACAAAUAAUUGAAAUUAAUGAAAAAGGUAUGAAAGAAAAGAGAAAAAGGAGACAAAUCCCAUGGAAUCCAAGGUGUUUUGAUUGAAGGCCCAUGCAUUCCAGUCUUUCUAAACCUUCUUCCCACCUACUUGUGUAAUUCAAGUUUUGAUUUUUUAUUCUCAUUUUAUCGGUAUAUUUACAUUUGAAUUCAAAUACAUAUCCUAUAAUUAACUUUAAUCUCGCUAUUACAAUACUUAACCUCACUAAAUUACUUGUUUAACAUGAUUAUGGUGAAUUUAUAGAAAGAAAAAUCACAAAGCAAAUGCAGAUGCACUUAUGUUAAAAGUGUUAUUAAUAGAAAUUUUAUUAUUUUGAAAAAUAAAAGUAUAAUAACUUUUUUAGCAUUCUAACUUUAUAAAAGAAUUAUUUUAGCUAUCUAUUUAUUUUCAUUCUCUCUUAGUCUUUGAACUUAUAUUUUUUUGUUAAACCAUCCAAAAUGGGUAAAAAAGUUAACGUUUGUUAACUUUUUUGAGAUGACAUAUAGGUAGAUUACCACAUGUAUGUUACGUUAGCAAUUAAUUAUUUUAAAAAAAUAUUAAAAAAUAUUUUCUUAUAAUUUUUUAAAAUUUUAAAAUAUUUUUUUGAAUUUUUUAAAAUUUUAAAAAUAAUUAAUUGCUUAUGUGGCAUGUACGUGGCAAUCCGCGUGUAUGUCACGUCAACAAAAUCAGCAGACGUUAAUUUUUCACUCAUUUUGUGGUGAUUUAAUAAAAAUUACAAGUUGAACUAAAAGAAACGAAAAAUUAAAUGAAAAGUUGAAAUAACUUUUUCUGUAAAGUUGGAGACCAAAAGAAUCAUUAUGGAAAGAAAUAGUUGUUUUUCUUCUCUCUCUUUUUUUUUGGUAUAUUUUAGCGCUAAAAUCACAAUUAUCGGAAACCAAACCAAAUUCUAUUCUUUAUUUAAUUUAUAAAUAUUUUUAUAAUAUAAAAAUAAAUCUUUUAUUUUUAAAAAUAGUGAAAAUAAAUAAAUAAAUUUUAAAAAUAUUAUAUAAAAGUAUUUGAUUAUUUUUAUUUACUUAAAAAAUUUUAAAUAAUAUCUAUGAAAAAACUUUGAAAAUUUGUCAAAUGAUAUUUAAAAACCGUAAAAUAAAGUUUAUUUUAUUAAAAUAAUUAUAAAAAUUUAUAAUAAAAAAUCAAACUAAACUAAAUUAUAAUGGAUGGAUAAAAAAAUACAAUUGAAUUAAACUAAUAUCACUUUAUUUUAUUGCACCAAACUGGACAUAAAAGAUUUUCUUAAAAAAUUUAGCCGUGAGACUGUUUUUCUCACUAUAACCUUCUAGAGCGUGCAAUGUCCUCCCCAAGUAAGUAAAUUCAAUAGAGGUUGGAGGCUAAAGGUUGAUACAUAAAAGAAGGGGAGGGGCAUAGUUCUGCUUGAAACAAACCCCCAAAUUUAGCAUCUUGAGUUGUUAAAAUAAGUAAAUCCACCGUACUUUUUUGUUAGAUUUUGGCUCUCUUCUUCAGCAGAAUGUAGCGUACAGUACAAGAAGCAGGGACCAUCCUUUCUACCAUGAUUUGUUUAUCCGCCCACAUAUUCCAACAAAACGAAUAUGGUAAUAAAUGUCUUCAAUUUCCUUCUAAUUUCCAAUUGAUCUGAUAUAAAUGGUGUAAUUCAAGAGUACUUGUAUAAUAUAUAUGCCCAACUGAGUACUAGCUUAGAUGGAAUCUAUGCUGUUGACGGACUCUUGGAGGCAUGUUCGAGAGAGCUUAAACACAUUUGUAUUUUUCAGUGUUCCAUAGAAUAUUCUAAUGAGCUGUGUCAAGUUCAUUAAAAAUGAUGUAAAAAGUAGUAUAAAAAUAAGCAAAAAGGAAAUUAAAUUAAAUAAACUAAUAUGAUGGAUUUCAAGCUUUAAGCUCAAUUUUGUUCUAGUUUCGAACCAAUGCACGAUAACAAGUCUUCUCCUUCAACCAAUAAGUUAGUUAUAGUGAUCAAGGAUGCCUCAGACCACCAACCCUUCUAUAUGUAAUUAAUUACGAGAACGCCCAAUAGUUAAUCUUUAUCGAACGAACAACCACAAAACACGCAUCCACGAUUUAGCUCUCCGGUAGCCUUGUGAGCUAAAAGGGUCCAUCUCAAACCAACAGCGUCAAUUACGCGAGCCGUUUAGAUCCGAUUGCUAACUUCUUAGUUGGACACGCCAAUGUGUUCUUCGUAAGAUCAAAUACAACAAAUGAUCAAUCCGGUACUUCCAAUUGUACGUCUAUCAAAACCGAAUUAAUGAGCUCUUUUUAACAUGGUGUCAGCACAAUUUUGUGAGCUGCCAGCAUCUAUCUCCUAAAUCAGAGAAACAACAAAUACCGAAAUAAAAUUUUUUAUGUAUAAAUUUAGAUCUCACAGCUCUCUGCCGGAUUAUUUAUUUAGCUACUAAUGAAAAUAUAUGAAAUAAAAUAUAAAUAAAAUUUUAAAAAUAUGGAAAUAGGAUUGCGCAUGGAACAGAGAAGUAAUAAACAAGUAUGAAUAAAAGAGUGGGGCAAAUUUUCCAAUAAUAAAGAAAUAAAAAUCAUCACCCUUUAAAAAAGAGUGGGCCAAUCUCACUUUUACCCUUUAUAAAAUAUAUACCGUAAUGUUGCAAUUGAUAAUUCUGCCCAACUUCUUGUUCUUUAUUCAUAGCAUCAUGUGGUGCUAUUCAAGAAAAAUACAUUGAAAGCUGCAGAAAAUUUAUAAAGAAAGGCCGUCCGUUAACUAAGUUUUUAAUAUAAAAUUAGCAACUUUUUAUUUAAUUAUUACUUGGUGGGUGGUGACAUCUUUAAAAUACAAUAUUGACUCUACGGGUGUAUGUAUGUAUUAACGCUUUUAUUUUCAUCUUGUUCGAAUCAUUUCACUCUUCCUCCUGCAAUAAUCAAACACUUUUUGCGUGCCAUCAAUGGCUGAAGCAAUUGCUUUGGAUAUUGCUGGAGAGCUCAUUACUAAGUUGAUCUCUCGAGCUCCCUCUCAGAUUGGAGUAUGGUGGAAUUUCAAAGAUGAACUCGAUGACUUCAAACAUUGUUGUUGCUAUCUCUGAAUGGGUUGAUCUAUGAAAAUUAAACUAGCCUUGAUAUCACCUAUUGGGAUCAACCCGGUUAAGUAGCAAGUAAAAAAAUAGCGAAAUAAAUUGAGAAAUUGAACACACAAAUUUAACAUAGAAAAACUCCCUCCAAAGAGGAUAAAAAGCCACGGGCAAAUAUAAUGGUAAAAGAACGAAGAGUACAAAAGAUUGAGAUAAAAACUAAAACCCGAAAAUAAAGAACCCUCAAAACGUAAACACAAAAUUCUCUAAAUGUAUUAUGAGUUCUAAUCUCUAAUGGGUAUAUUUUCCAAUAACGUUGUAAAAGAGCCUAUUUAUAGGCUAAAUUUAUAGGUCAAAUAAUAAUAAAAUAAUCUAGACUAAUCAGAGUUUGAUUGAAACAAAUAAACAGAGUUUAAUUGAAAGAUUAUUUCUCAAAUUUAACUGAAAUAGGAGUCAUACUCAACACGGACAAAUCCACCAUGAUCUCUCAUUUACUCUUAAUAUAUAUAGUUAAAAAAAAGAAGAAGACUAUUACUAUUUUAUACUGUACUCUUAUUAUUAAUUAUUGGUAUCGUUGAUGUAGCUGAGCGUGUUAAUUUUUGUUGUUAGUGGUAGUAACAUUUUAAUUAUUUUAUUAUACAUUUAUUUGUUUAUUGUAAGUGGGUUGAUGAUUUUUAUUUGUUUAUUUUUGGAAAUUUUGUCUCAUUCUUUUGUUCCAUGUCAUGUUGGAAAAAGAGUUUGAAUAAACAGGUUAAUUUGGAGUAUUUAAAAAUGGCACGUGUUAGGGUUAUAUGAUCUAAAUUUUAAGAUAUUGUUUGCAAGUUAAAUAAAAAAAUAUUUUUUUAGAAAAUUUAGUAUUUAUUAAUAUAAUAUGUUUAACAUUUAUUAGCAUAAUAUAUUUGACAUUGAUUAGAAUUAGGUUUUUUUAACCUAUAAAUAAAUGUAGUUGAAACUCUUAUUGUAUCAUUUGAAUUCAACAUUAGUGAAUUUUUUCUUCUCCUCUGCCUUUUAUUUUUUCCGAAAAAUUUUUACGUGAGAUCUGUGUGUUCUAUUUUUCUUUGUUUUUCUUUGCGAUCUUUCUACAUUACCAUUAUCGAUGUUUAGUUUUUUACUGCACAUAUGUGUUGUUGAUUGAGAUGAUGAGAUUGAGUACAUGUCACAUAUCGGCUUUGUCUCCACAAUCAGAUGAUGAGAUUGAGUACAUGUCACAUGUUCCAUACUCUAGUGCAGUGGGAUCUCUCAUGUAUGCCAUGGUUUGUUCACGUCCAGAUUUAUCAUAUGCAGUUAGUGCAGUUAGCAGAUACACGGCGAAUCCCGAUAAAGAACAUUGGAAAGCAGUUCAGUGGGUUUUAAGAUACUUACGAGGUACUACCGAUGUUUGCUUACAGUUUGGAAAAACUAGAGAUGGAGUCAUUAGGUAUGUUGAUGUUGAUUUUGCUGGAGACCUCGAUAGAAGAAGAUCUCUCACAGGUUAUAUCUAUACAAUCGGAGGUUGUGCAAUCAGUUGGAAAGCCACUUUGCAAACUACAGUCGCUUUGUCUACCACUGAAGCUGAGUACAUGGCGAUUACUAAGGCUUGUAAAGAAGCCAUUUGGUUGAAGGGACUCUUUAGUGAACUCAAUGAAGACCUUCAAAUCAAUACAGUAUUUUGUGACAGUCAGAGUGUCAUCUUCACUACACCAAAACAGGCUUUUAGCGGGGUUUAUAGCGGCGUUUAACCCAAAAACGCCGCAAAAGAUAAACUUUUAGCAGCGCAAAAAAACAAACGCCACAAUAGACCUGCAUUAGCGGCGCUCGAAAAACAAACGCCGCAAUAGGCCUGCCUUAGCGGCGAUUUCUUUGAAACGCCACAAAAUUUUUUUGCCAAACGGCUUCGUUUUUUUGUUAUUUUAUUACUUUAGUGGCGCUUAUUAAAAACACACCGCAAAAUAUUGGGAUAUAGCGGCGUUUUGAGAGAAACGCCGGUAGAGAUAAGUAAUUUGAGGAAAAAAUUUCAGCAAAACUGUACCGUUUUAAUUUUUCCUAUUAUUGCUUUAGAGGCACUCAGUAAAAAACGCCACAAAAGAUACAGAUUUCACGGCUGUUGUUAACGAAUUCCGCUAUAAGUAACUAAUUUGCGGCGUUUCCUUUAUAAACGCCAGAAAAAAAAAUAAGCAAAACGGCUUCGUUUUAUUUCAUUAUAUUGCUUUAGUAGCGUUUUAACUCAAAACGCCACAAUAGGUAGGCUUUAGUGGCGUUUCUUUUAAAAACGUCGCAAAUAAAUUUGCAAAACGACUUCGUUCUGCUUUCACUAUAUUCCUUUACUGGCGUUUUCCGGUAAAACGCCGCAAAUAUGUCUGCAAUACGACGAUAAAACGACGCCGCUUAUGAUUGGAUCUAGUGGUAUUAGCGGUAUUUUCCGAAAAAUGCCGCAAAAAAGAAAUAAUAGAUUACGAUUUACGGAUUAAUAUUUAUAAAUAAUUGUAUAUGGUUUGGGGUUUUAGGGUUCGUUACACAAUGUUUAUUAUUUUAGGAUUACAGUUUUGACGAUAUGGGUUUAGAGUUUAGGUUUACAGCUCAGGGAUUAGUGUUCAAGGUUUAGAGUUUACAUUUCAGUGUUAAUAUCAUGUUAGGGAAUUUACGGCUUAUAAGAUAAUGAAAUUUAAUGUUUUAGGGCUUCAUGUUUAUGGUUUAUGAUUUAGCGUUAAUUAUUUAUGCGUUACGAUGUUGAUUCUUGCGUUUCAGAUUUAGGGUUUGUACGAUUUAUAGUUUAGGGUUUAAUGUUGUGGCGGUUUUAGGGUUUUUUACUAUUUUGAUACAAAAGUCAAAAAAAAUUCGAAUACCAUGUUUUUUACUUCUUAUUAUGUCAUUAUUAGGUUCAGAACUGACAUGGCAAGAUAUCAUAUAUAUAUGUUAUGUAUGAUGAAACAGUUUAAUAUUGUGUACGAGGUAGCGUACGUUAUCAAGAUUUGCAUAACUUAGAGCAUAAAAUUAAAAUUGUAAGACAUUAUUGGAAUAGUGUCAAUAAUUUAUAAAUUGGAAUGUUGAUAGUGUUUAAAUAAUACAUAUAUACUUACAUAUAUAAAAUGGAAAUUUUUUUUAAAGAUUUGUACAAAAAAAAAGAAUAUGUUAAAUCUGUGUCAUAAUUUUAAACUAUUUUAAUUGAAAUGACAUUAAUAAUUUCAUAUUAAUGCAUCAAUUUAAAAUAAUGUCAUAACAUUUAUCCAAUUUUAAAAUCCAUUAAAAAAAGAAAUAGUUAUAAAUAUAGACAUAUAAAAUAUUAUUACAAUUGAAUAAUUAGUGGCGUUCUUUUAAAAAUGCCGCAAACAAAUUUGCAAAACGGCUUCGUUCUGCUUUCACUAUAUUCCUUUACUGGCGUUUUCCGAUAAAACGCCGCAAACUUAUUUAUCAAUUUUAAUAUUGAUAGUAUUUAAAUUGAGAGUAUUUAUAAAUUUGAAUAUUUAUUAAAUAUGUAUAAUUGAAAAAAAAUGUAUUAAAUCUGUGCCAUAUUUUAAAAUAAUAGUAUUGAAAAAAAUUAAUAAUUUCAUAUUAAUGUUUCAAUUUAAAAGAAUGUCCAAACAUUUAUCUAAUUUAAAAAUCAAUUAAAAUUCAAAAUGCUUAAAAAUAAGGUGAAUAUUUAGUGGCGUUUGUAACUAAAAUGCCGCAAACGCUAAUUAAAUAUUGAACUACACGUGGCCUUUUGACUGACGCGUUUAGGGUUUAGUGGCAUUUUCUCUCAACGCGCCGCAAAACCCGUAAGAUUAGUGGCGUUUUCUUUUAAGCGCCACAAAAAGUUUAAUUAAAACGGUGUCGUUUCGAGGGGAUAUCAGAUUUGGGGUAUAUCCCCGCAGCCAGCCGCAAAUCCCCCUUUUCAGCCAAAUCCCUAAGUGUUUCUGCACAGCAUCUCCGAUUUCCCCUCAUCCUUUCUUCAUCUCUUUCACACUUCUGUUUGGGUGUUUCGCUUCCUAGCAAAAAAAAACCAUUAAAAAGGGUCAUUACAUUGUAUUUGUUGAAGAUAAUAUCACGAGGGAACAAAACAUAUUGAUGUACGGUAUCAUUUUGUUCGUGAUACUAUUGCUCGUGGUGAUAUUGUUGUGAUCAAAAUUAGUACUCAUGAAAAUCCUGUAGAUAUGAUGACUAAGUCACUUCCUAUAACCAAGUUUGAGCAUUGCUUAGACUUGGUUGGUGUUCAUUGUUGAAGAUAAACCCUUAAGGAGUUUUAUGGAAGAGGUGGAGAAACUUGUUCGCUGAGAGUUCGCGAUGAAAAACUUGUUCAUUAAGAAUUCGUGUCAAGGUGGAGAUUGUUAGAAUUAAGUGACCCGAAUCCUUAUUUAAAUAAAAUACAAUGGUAAAAUAAAAUAAAAGUAAAAUCCCUAUAGAAUUAUACUUCUUUUAUUUUAUUUUAGAAUAAGGUUUUUUAAAUCUUAUUAAACUCCAUCUAUUUGAUAUUAAUUAGAAUAAGAAGUUUCACUCCUAUUAGAAUAAGGUUUACAAGCCUGUAAAUAGGCAUAGUCUACUCCUCUUGUAAUUAAAAUUUGAAUUCGACAUAGUGAAUUUUCUUCUCAUCUGCCCGUGGUUUUUUCCCGAAAGGGUUUCCACGUAAAAUCUGUGUGUUCUUUAUUUUUUCUAUUUCUAUUUUUCUUUGCGAUAUAUUGUCAUUACCGAUAUUAUAUUUUUCACAGAAUCAAAUAUUAUUAAAUUCAAAUUCGAUAAAUAAUAAUUUAAACAUAAAUUAAUGAUUAUUAAAUCAAAUUUAAAUCUUUUUCGAAUUCAAUUCAAUUAACUUACGAAUGAUUAUCAUCUCUCUCUUUCUCACCUACGUGCUUAGCUUUGAUUUUGUCUUUUAAAGUAGCUUGGUGUCUACAAUUAUAUAUUACGACAAUGGUUACUGUCCAUUACUACUUUAGUACACUCUUAUUAUUAAUUUUUUAUAGUAAUGGGUAUGUUAAUUAUACUUGCUAUUAAUUUUUUAUAUAAUAUUAAGAGUAGGGAUGGAGGUAAUAUUGUUUGAAUCCGUGUCAAAUAGGUAUUGACAAGAGUUUUAACUACUUUUCUUGCAAGGCAAGAUAUAUUUGUUAUUGACAAUAGUAGUAGCAUUUUAUUUUCUUUUAAAUAUACAUAUAUUUAUUAAGAAAGGAUUAAAGCAUUUGAUUUGUUUAUUAUUAGGGAAAAAAAUUAAAUUUAUACAUGACUUUUAGUUCAAUAAGUAAUUUGAUAUAUGAAUUUUGAUGUGGAAUAAUUUCCACAUGAAACUUGUAUUGUGGGUCAUAUAUAUAUACAUGAAAUUUUAAUUCUGAUUCAACUGUGCACAUGUAAAAAAAUGCAUACAUAUAUAUAUAUUUACAUUAGAUUAAUAUAAUUGUUUGUCUACACAAUAUACCAAAGUAAAUUGUAAGAGGUUGAUUUGGCAUAUCCCAAAACAUUUUGUUAUAGCUUGGAUGGUCAUUCUUGACAAGUUGCCUAUCACCGGUGAAGCCUAGUAGAGACUCCUAAAAUGGUAAAUUUUUAUUUUAGACUUUUUAUAAUUUAUAAAAUUUUAAAUUAAUAAUUAUAAAAUUAUAAUUUGAUCCUCUAAAAAAUUAUAAAAAUUUAAUUUAACUCUUUAAAGUUUAUAAAGAUAUACUACUAUAAAAAUAUACAAUUUAAUUUGGAUUAAAAUCUUUUUUAGCUCGGCUGCUAUUGCCUACAAAAGAAAAAUUAAUUUCGUUUUGGACACAACAUGCGGAGAGAUAUUUGGGUUUAUGUAAGCUCCAUGGUAAUGCAUUUUAUUGGAAUUGAAGGAAAAAUCAUUACUGAUACCAUCAUGAAGAUUGCUUCCAUUGCUCAUGUCUAUUUAAUUAUUUUAAUACACAUAAAUUUGUUUUUUGUGAGUUGGGUGAUUUCGGUUUGUUUAUUUAAGAUAUUUUAUUUUUAAAUAUAUUCUUAAUUAUUUAUUUUACAUAUUUUAACUUAAUAUAUUUAAUAGUACUUUUUUUAAUAAAAAAAAACUCAAAUGUCACUACAUCAUUUUAAGUUGCAUCAUAAAUUAUAAUGUUAUGGAUAUCGCUAAGAUAAUCCAUCUUAAAAGAUAAAUUACAACACUUAGAAAGGCCCAAUUAUAAAGAGAAUCGGCUGAUUUGUUACAACCACGUUUCACCCAUUUGACCUGUAACACCCCUAACCCGUAUCCAUCGCCAGAAUAGGGUUAUAGAGUAUUACCGGAGUUUACAAAUUAAUUUACAGACAAUUCAUUUCAUCAAGCGUUCAUAUUUAUAACCAAUCAAAAUCAAAACAUAAUGAAUUAACGUUGACCAAUUUAACUUAUACAUGUCAUUAUAACCAGAAUCAAAUCAUUCAAAAUUACCGAUAGAACCAAUGGAUAGUGUGAUAUAUCUCCGAUAAGUUUCCAACCCAAUCGAGCUUCCGAUAAUCAUUUCAAUGCAUCUAAUAAUUAUACAUAUUACCAAUAAUAAUUCAAUUCCAAUAAUAAAACACAUAUUUAUAUAAUAUUCAUCACCAAAUAACGUUCACUUUAAUUAAAAUUAUACUGAAUAUAGUUCAUACGAACUUACCAAGCUAAAUUGCAGAAAUACCAAAAAUCAAGGACAUUUUGGUAAUUUUUUAUUUUCCUCGAAUUUCCAUCCAAUCUUGAUCUAAAUUAAUAUUUCAUUCAAUUUAUUAAUUUAAAUAACAAAACAAUUUAUUUCAUGCAAUUUGGUCACUUUUUGACAUUUUUUACAAAAUUACCCUAAAAAUUUUACUUUUAUUCAAUUUAGUCCCUGAACCUAAAACAUGUAAAUUAGCUAUUUUAAAAAUAAACUCAUAUUAUCUGAUUAUUCACAUAUAUUUUUCCUCCUCCUCCACUCCAUUCCACAUCCUUGAUAUAUACAUAAUACCACUAUUUACUUGUUUACUCAUAACAAGCUGUUCACUUAAGUCAUAGUCACUAAAUAAAUUAUAUAUUAAGCUACAGAACUCCAAAUUGAGAUUUUUAAAUUUUAUAUGAAACUAGACUCGCAUAUCUUAUUACUAUAAAAUUUUCAUAAUUUUUGGUUUAUCCAAUAAGUACAGUUUAUUCUUUAAAUUUUCCCAUAUUUCACUGUUCGACAAUCCCGACCCCUCUUCACUAAAAAUUAAUUAUUUCUCUGUAAAAAAUUUGGAUGAUGUUCUCGUUUGUUUCUACUGAAAAUAGACUCAUUAAGGAUUUUAAAAAUAUAAAUUAUAAGCCAUAAUUAUUUUUAUACAAUUUUAAUGAUUUUUCCAAGUCAAAACAGGGGAACCUGAAUUCAUUCUGACCUUAUCUCACAAAAUUCAUUAUAUCUCAUGAUUUAAAAUUUCAUUACUUACACCCUUUCUUCUUUGAGAAACUAGACUGAAUAAGAUUUAAUUUCAUAUUUUUUUAAUCCUCUAAUUUGAUUUCCAUGAUUUAUGGCGAUUUUUCAAAUUUAACCUACUGCUGCUGUCCAAAACUGUUUUAGUGUAAAAUGUUGAUAACUAAAUUUAUAACACCGUCCUUUCCUUUCUCUUCAAUAUUUUCCAUCAUUUCCUUUUAUUUCCCUUUGCUAACAUAACAAGAAUAUAGAACCUUAUAUAAUGAAACUCUACAUUAACAUUAAUUUCCUACUUUUUCAAAAAUAUCAAACUCAAAAGUAUAUUGAAAUCUUGAUGUUCUUAACUUGUGCUAUUGAUUUCAAUCUUUAACUUGAUUUUCUCUCUCCUCCAGCUUCUAUUUCUUGAAUCGAACUUGAUAUUCUAGCUCCCCAUAGUCUCCUUAACAUUUUUCUCUCUUGGUAGCUAUGAAAAUUCUUUUGAUUUCUAGGUGAAAAUGGUAAACUUUUGGAGGAAGGACCAAAUUGUAAAAAAAAAAAGAAAACUUUCUUUCUUUCUUUCUUCCUUCUUCUCACGUUGGCGCAUAUAUAUACUAAAUAGAAUAAUAAUAAAAUAAUAAAAUAUCAUUUAAAAAUUAAAUUAAAAUAUUAAAAAAUUAAUAUUAUUUAAUUAAUUAAUCUAAAAUAUCACCAACAUCAUCAUUGCCUUCUAGAUUUCUCUCUCUUCUAAUUUACCAUUUUGCCCUUUAUAAUCUUUAAAAAUUCCAUCAUUGAGUCAUCACUUAAUUUGGUAAAAUUGUGAUUUAGUCCCUCAAAAUUCUUCACCUUUUUAAUUUGGUCCUAAUUCAUCCAUUUUCCUUAGUUUCUAGAUCAUUCCACCCUUAAAAUAUUUUCCCUAUUGGUCCUUCAACUUUUUCAUAUUUACACUUUACCCCUUCAAAUUUUGAGUAUUUACUCUUGAUCAACAGAACUUUUCUCACUUUUGCGAUUUAAUCCUUUCUUGAAUUAAUAUAUUAUAAUAUAAUUGCUAAUGUUGCCAUAACUCAAAAUUUCCCUUUUUGUCACUUUAUUUCCAUAUUUUACUAUAUCAAGGAUACCUACUUUCUUACUAUAGUAAUUUUCGGGGUAUUACAGUAGUAAUUUUCAGGAUAUUACAGGUGCUCAUACCUAUUUAAUUAAUUUAAUACACAUAAAAUUGUUUAUUGUGAGUUGGAUGAUUUUGGUUUGUUUAUUUAAGAUAUUUUAUUUUUAAAUAUAUUCUUAAUUAUUUAUUUUACAUAUACCUGCAUUUUAACUUAAUAUAUUUAAUAGUGAUUUUUUUAAUAAAAAAAGGACCCAAAGGUUACUAUCUCAUUUUAAGUUGCAUCAUAAAUUACAAUGUUAUGGAUAUCGCUAGGAUAAUCCAUCUCAAAAGACAAAUUACAACACUUAGAAAGAUCCCAAUUACAAAGAGAAUCGGCUAAUUUGUUACAACCACGUUUCACCCAUUUGACCUCGGCGGAAACAAAAGAAUCAAGCAUCUUGUGAACUCCUUGAUGCAGUGAUCAAUGAUCGUUAUGUCCUUGUCAAAACUAAAGCAGUGGACAAUGCUAGCACAAUCUGUUUCAAAAAUGACAUUAUCGGCUUUAAGAAAUUGAGCAAGCUGAAAACCAUUGAUGAGAGCAUCUAAUUCCGCUUUAAUAUUGAUUUUUUAUUCUCAUUUUAUCAGUAUAUUUACAUUUGAAUUCAAAUACAUAUUCUAUAAUUAACUUUAAUCUCACUGUUACAAUACUUAACCUCACUAAAUUACUUGUUUAACAUGAUUAUGGUGAAUUUAUAAAAAGAACAAUCACGAAGCAAAUGCAGAUGCACUUAUUUUAAAGUGUUAUUAAUGGAAAUUUUAUUAUUUUGAAAAAUAAAAGUAUAAUAAGUUUUUUGGCAUUCCAACUUUAUAAAAGAAUUAUUUUAGCUCUAUAUUUAUUUUCCUUCUCUUUUAGUCUUUAAACUUACAUUUUUCUGUCAAACCAUCCAAAAUGGGUGAAAAAGUUAACAUUUGUUAACUUUGUUGACAUGACAUAUAGGUGGAUUACCACGUGUAUGUCACAUUAGCAAUUAAUUAUUUAAAAAAAUAUUUAAAAAUAUUUUCUUAUAUUUUUUAAUUUUUAAAAUAUUUUUUAUUUUUUAAAAUUUUAAAAAAUAAUUACUGCUUAUGUGACAUAUACGUGGCAAUCCGUGUGUAUGUCACAUCAGUAAAAUUCAAGAUAGUGUGGAAUAGUUUCUAAUCUUAUUAUUAUAUAUGUUUUCGAUCUCAUUAGAGCUAAUCUCACUAUCUAUAUAAAGAGAGCCUAAAUAUAAUUUGUUCAUCUUCUUUUAAACAUGUUAGUGCUCCUUUGUAUGAUCAUUUACCUCCCGUGAGUAGGGUUGAGUAAAUAAAAUAAUUGAAAAUCGAUCCAAAUCAAGGUGUUUAGACGGUUUAUGGAAUACAAAUUAAAAAAUCAUAAUUAUCCGAAACCAAACCAAACCAAAUUCUAUUCUUUAUUUAAUUUAUAAAUAAAUUUAUUUUUUAUAAUAUAAAAAUAAAUCUUUUAUAUUUAAAAAUAGUGAAAAUAAAUAUAUUUUAAAAAUAUUAUAUAAAAGUAUUUGAUUAUUUUUAUUUACUUAAAAAAUUUUAAAAAAAUAUCUAUGAAAAAACUUUGAAAAUUUGUCAAAUGAUAUUUAAAAGCCAUAAAAUAAAGUUUAUUUUAUUAAAAUAAUUAUAAAAAUUUAUAAUAAAAAAUCUAACUAAACUAAAUUAUAAUGGAGGAAUAAAAAAAUACAAUCAAAUUAAACUAAUAUCACUUGAUUUUAUUGCACCAAACUGGACAUAAAAGAUUUUCUUAAAAAAUUUAACCUGCAAUGAGAUUGUUUUCCUCACUAGAGGUGUUAUAUAAGUACAUAUCAUAUGAUAAUUAUAAAUUUAAUUAUUUAAUUGUUAUAAAAAUUAAAUAUAUUACAAAUUAAUAUUUAUAUAAUGAUAUAUUAAAUACAUGUAAAUUUAUUAUUAUAAAUAUAUUAUUCGUUGAAUAUUAUUAUACGUGAUUUUAUAUAUUUAUUUAUUAUUCACUGAAUAAUAUAUUUUUAUUUUAUGUAAUUAAUACAAAAAUAAUAUUAUUCAAAUUGUGGUGCAUAAUUAAAAUAGUGCAACAAUAAAAAAUUCAAACAUAAAAGUUUGAAAGUAAAUAAUAAUGAAAUAAAUUUUUUAGUGAUUUUAACUACUAAUUUAAUAAAAAAACUAAAACAUACAAUUCUUAUGUAUAUUUUAUAAUUUAAUAUAAAAUAUAAUUUUAAUUAUUUUUUAAUAUAAACAUAGUUUUGAUAUUUUUAAUUAUUAUUUAAAAUAAUUUAUUUUUAAAUAUAUUAUUAAUUAUUUAUUUUACAUAUACAUACAUUUUAACUUAAUCACUGGAUCAAUCUUGUUGUUUGUAUGAAAUCGGUCCAUUGUAUAUUUGAGGUUGUGACCAAUGACAUCUAUAAAUAAUCAUAUGAUUAGAGGAACAUGAAUUUAGCUAACCCUCACUUUUGUGGAACCGUCUUACACUAGAUCAUCAUUUCUUAAUGGCGAAUGUCACGCCAAUUCGUUUCUUGGGCUCGACAACCACUGACGCUGUAAGUUAGCGAACCGACUGUGCAACGUUCCCAAAACAUACAAAGCGGUCGUUCCUUGCACAAGAUGAGAAGAUCACUUUUGGAAGUACAUGGACGGAAGCGUCAGUCCCGUAAUGUUGAGAAACAAUAAAUACUUGUUGAGAAGGCUAAGUGCGGGUUCUAAGCCUCAUGAACCUUUUUUGAGAAAUCUCUACAACCUUUGACUAUAUGAGUUCAAUAAAGGAACAAAAACCUAGAGCUUUAGGGAAACGAAAUUUUUAUAGAAAAGAUGAGUUAAUAUUUAUGUCAUUCUAUCCCCUAUUUAGAACUCUAUCCCCUAUUUAGAGUACAUAGAAAACCUAGUUUGUUCCUAUUUAAACUCUAAAAGAUAAAUAAAUAUAUAAUCUGAAAUUAAAUAUAAAUAAUAUAUAUCAUAAUAAUCCUAUCAAUAAUCCUAAAAAUAAAAUUUAAAUUUAAAUGGAGUCUUCUGUUCAUAAAUCUCUUCUUUAAAUUUUUGCCCCAAGUCUUUCACACUUUGUAUUUUCGGCACCACUUCUUUCCUAUUUCGCAUGCUGGCCCAUUUUGUCUUCAAAUUCACGCUUUUUGUCCCCAAAUUUUCUUUUGCCUUCAAUUUAAUCCCUACGAGAUAAAAAACCAUAAAUAACUCAAAUUAGUAGAAUCAUACUCAAAACAAAUAUGUAAUUAAUACAUAAAAAUAUGUUAUUUUAAAGUAUUAUCAGUUUCUUAGCGAGCUAUGGAAAUGUAGGUCUCCGAGGAGGAUUAUAGCCCAUCAAUUUUCUCUCUGUAGCAACAAUGAACCUGCAAAUUAUAAAUGCCAAUCCAGAAAAGUAUAAAAUAUUUCUUUUGUAGAAAAUUUUAUAUAUUUUUAAUUAAAAAGAAAAAAGCAAACCCAAUUACACAACAGUCAAAACUGAAGGAAAUUUCAGAAUUAAAAAUGAAUAAAACCCAUAGAUGUAAGCAAAUUUCAUGGGUAUCAUUAGCUUAUUAUAUAGUAUAUGUCAGAGCAAACGUAUUAUUGUCUUCUUGGGAAAAAAAAUUAGACAAGUAAUUUAGACACCUUUAAAUGUCUUUUAUUUGGUAAUUUAUCCUGUAAACUUUGACAACCAAUGCAAACUCUUUUUUGGUGUAAAUGCCCCUUAAGUCCCUCUACUUUUUGCAGGUCAACAAAUUAGUCCCUCUCUAAGGAAAACAGAUUAAAGGAGACCAUGUACUCUUUUCAAAGGUGAAUAAAUAAGGACAAUUAAGAUCAGAGUUAACAAUUUCUAUUAAUACAUGACACAUCUCUAAUUAUGAUUAGUUAAAUUUGAAAACAUUUUAAAUAAAUUAAUAUAUAUAAUAUAAAAAUCUAUAAAAGAAUUCAAAAUUUCAAUUAUUAUAACAUUAAUUUUAUAUCUAAAAAUCCUAAAUUAAAUUAAAUUAAUUCAAUUGAAUUGGACAAACAAAUUCGACCUGAAAUCAUUUGAUAUUGUUGGUUGGACAACCAAUCUGGUUUUAAAAACCUUGACUAGGACAACAUCAAUAUGUUAAUUUAAUUUCUUGUUUGUUUAAUAUUGUUUAUUUAAUAAAUCUAAAUUUUGAAGCAUCUAAAAUGUUAAUAAAAUCUUAUUUCUAAUUAUUUUCAUACAUUGAAUAUGUUAUUUUACUUUGUUAGAACUUGUUUAAAAGAAUAUUGUAUGCUUCAAUGAAAGUCACAAUUUAUCUUUGACCAUGAUUGUUCGCAACUGAGCUACUUAGUAAAUUAAAAAUCAGACCUCGACUAUGUACUGUAAGUGCAUUUUCCUACAAACUUUACCCUAUGAUUCAUUAGCCAAAGGUAUUCAUCCCAUCCCCCAAAGUCAUGAGAUAGAUUUGUAAGCUUUGCUUAUGUUAUAGUUAAGGUGGAUGUGUACGCUAGUGUGUGAGUUCUAAAUUAUAUUGUAUAAAAAAAAAACCAAAAUUAAAUGUGUGUAAACAUCUUAUCUCCAUGCAAAUUUAAGCUAUUGAGCUAAUUUAUUCUUAUAAAAUAUUAAUUUUAUCCAAAAUUUUCUUCUUCAAUAUAGAAAUUAAUGUACAAAGAAAAUAAAAUUUUCUUCUUCAAUAUAGACAUUGGAUAUAGGUGUAGCUGUUUUGUAACAACCUAAAAAGGGUCGUAAUUGCUGCAGGGCUUCCGCAUUCUUAUCUCCUCAAUAUUUGAUAAUCGAAUGGAGCUAAGCUAAGCAUUCAACCAAUCAUAAGAUGAAGAUAUGGGAUUCAUUACUCAAUCUAGCAAUGUCUUCAACUUUGUACAACUCAAUCUUCAAAUUGCUUAAUAGUUCUUGCGUGAAGCCCUUUCAUUAAAUGAUAGUCUACAUAAUGUACACAAAAUUGCUUGAUAAUUAGUUGUGCUUGUGUUGGAACCUUAUUUGAGACAUCAAAAGAGAAAAAUAUGUUUUGUCCUGAGUGGACACAUAUAUAAGUAAAACUAAAGAACACAACUAAGAUAUUUACGCAGCUUGAAACUUGUCCUACGUUUGCAGCGCCUUGUUCAGAGAUAAAUCCACUAUAUAUUUUAUAGUACAAAGAAAUGAUUUAUGCCCAACUCUCAAACAUUUGGUGUGACCUCACCUUUGUACAAUGAAAUAAACUCUCUCCCAAUUCAUUUUAGCUAUACAAUUAGAAAAUCAACACUCAAAAGGUGUAUAACAAUGACACUCAAUAAUAAUUCCUCGCUAUGAGCGCAUGUACUCCGUUAAAUCCACACAUCAUCCACAAAACAAAUCAUCUAUGUAUAAGCUCCAUGUAAAGUGAAAUAACAAAUUUUCAAAUGCAAUAUCACUGGACCUUUGUAGAAACACUUACCGUUACUAAAUGCUGCUUUAUAUCAUGUGCAUAAAUGGUGGCUAACCACAAACCUAUUGUCUAUGCUUUUUCGGUGCAUUCAAAGUUUACACAUUCUGCCAAUUUAGUUUUGAUUUAAUAAAUUUAGCCCACAACAUUUACACAUUUUGUCAAUUUGAUUCUAGUUUAACAAAGUUAGCUUGCAACAUUUACACAUUAUGUAUGGGCUCAAUUUGUUAUUUUAUCGAUCAAAAUUAUGUACGAGUGAAAAAAAAUAUUAACAUUGUGGUUAAUUGUCCUUAGUUCACUUCCGAAAUUGAUAGGGAUUAAAUUACUCCUUUUAUUUUUAGAGGGGCCAAUUUGCAUAAUAUUGAAUUUGAGAGGAACAGAAGAUGUGUUUUUACCCAUUUUUAUCCUUAUUAUAAUUUGCAUAAUAUUAACUUUAUUAUAAUUUGACCUUAUUUGAUUCUUUUUAAUAGUACAUGAACUAAAUUGAUCAUUUAAUAAUAGAGGGAUUAAUUUGAUGCAGUCCCUAUAAUACAGGUACUUUCACCAUUAUAUAUAUAUUUGAAUUGUAAUUUCGAGAUGAAAUUGAACAAUUGAAAAAUGUAAAAACAAAUGAAAUUAGCUCAUUAACUUGUAAUUAUAUACAAAAUGCUUCCCUCCACAUUUAUCCGGCGGCGCUCGAGGCUCUAAUGGUCCCAUGCUGCCGUAUCAACCUCCUCCUAGGCUUCAACAGCACCAGCUUCGACGGUUCCUCCAGUUGUUCCGCCAAUACGUGGUCACCUGGCCUUCGCUUCAACGAAGCCGCGGUUUGCUCAUCUCGAUGAUUAUCACAGAUUUUCAUCCAGUAAUAGUCGUGUCAAGAAGUUGAAGCAAUUGUUGUGAGAUCUCCAGUGAGCUCAAAAAUUCUCUUUUGAAAAUGAUGGCUAUCAUGUAAUUAGUAGUAUAUUAUUUCAAUUUUGAUGAGAAUUGUACUGUCACUUAACGCUUAAUGUCAUUUGCUUAACUUUUUUUGUGUGUGAUAUUUUGAUCUGUUCAUAAAUAGAAUGUUUCAUGGUGGCUAAGUUUCUUAGGGGAUAAUUAUGAGUAGCAUUAUUUGUUUGUGCAGUGAAAUUGUGAUGUCUGUAUUUUAAUAUGUGAGGUAUUUCCGUAUUUGAUGAUGUAGUGGAGUUUUGGUAGAUUAAAGUGCUUGUUUGCUGAACUAAGUUGAAAUUGAAGGAAUGCUGGCCUCACCCAAUGUCCAAAACUUGAUGACUUCAACAUUUUGAUGCCUUAAUUUGAGAAAGCUAAGUUUUAGUAUUAUAAAAUUUUCUCAGAAUGCAGAUGAGGCAAAGAUGUAGUGAUCAAAUAUAAUUGCAAUUGAUAGUAUGUUUGUUUUAUGUACUAUAAAUGCUAUAGUAAGAGAGUUUAAAGCCGAACAUUUAGUGUCGUGCUCUAUAUGAAGAAAGGUUGAUGGGUGUUAGCUCUUUUGAUGUUUUGCCUUUGAUGGAUGUUUGAAAAAUGAUUCAGCUCAUAUCCAUAAUGUCUAUCACUAUAGUUUCCCCCUUAUGUAGAGUAUGACUGCUAGUUUGUCAGGCAAAAUUAUGUUCGUAUAUUAUAUUCUUUUUCUUAUUGUCUUCAACACGAUAACAAGUGAAUUACUAGUUACUUUGCUUGAUUUUGUCAUGCCAUUUAUCUCUUUGAGUUUCGGCCUUUCUGAAUUAACUUUUGAAUCAAGUAGUGAAGCAUUUCUGAUGGUUCUUAUGACUAACAGUAGGUUUUCUUAUACAAGCUCUCCUACAUAUGCAUUUCUUAAACUUAUGCUCUUUUUUAUUUUAUUUUCUUCAUUUCAGUUGGUUGUUAAUCUUGAUAUAACCAUGCACAAAUACUAAUACUAAGGGACCCUGUAAUUUUGCCUGCCAUUGGAAGAGGAAGAGCGCAGCAGACAAAAAUGAAGUUAAGUCUAGCCAACAUAAUACAAGAUGUGUUAUUCAACUUGUAGUUUGAUGUGUGCCAACAUAAGCAUCAACACACAAGUCAUACGUAUAUACAGCCAGGAAAUCGACAUCUUUUGGAAGAGUCCUAAUCCAAGCAUCAUAAUUGAACACAGUCUUGGAAUACUGUCUAAAAAAAUGGUUGUCUCAUAAUCAAUUGUGCAUCCCUGCAUUUGAAUGCUGUUUUGAACACUAAAAAAACAUAAAUGUGUUUUUUCUGAGUUGACAUGUAUUAUGCAACAAGGAAAACAAAGAUCACAAUUAAGAUGUUUACACAGUUCGAAACUAGUCCUACAUCUGCGGGGCCUUACCCAAAGAUGAAUACACUAUGAACUUCAUAGUACAAAGAAAUGAUUUAAGCCUAACCCUCUAACAUUGAUGCAAUCUCAACUUCAACCUCACCACCAAAUAUUCUGAAGCAGCUUCCUUUUUUUUCCUGUUUGGACCUUCAAUAACAAAUUUGGCUGGAAUUCCAAACAGCUAAAAGAGUGCCCUGCAUCAAUGAAUAUCAUGAAUUUGAAUACCUCCAAAAGCCUGUCAAUAUCACAGGUACCAUCUAAGAUAGUAAUCAGUUGGCAUUUAUUAAGAGAAAACAUAAAUAUAUAUAAAGAUAGGAUAGGUAAGUGCUUAAAUGAAGAAAAGGCCUCUCUCCACAUCAAUGAUUUUUUAGACUAAAAUUAUUAGAAGCAAUUGUCAAGUUAUUAUUAUGAUUUAAAAGUAAAAAGCAAAUAGAUAAGUUAGCACCUCUUUUUAUGCAUAUAAAAUGAUUGAAGUUCACUAAUGCCUUUCUCCAAUGCCUUACUGCACAAAUCAGCAAAAAUAUUAUGAAAGAGGAUAAGUAAAAAGUAGGAUUAAAACAAAGGGACUUUAACAAGGAAAUUAACAGUAUCCAACUUCAAUGAAAAAUGGCAUCAGACCCCUGACUUGGAGAUUCAAUAUACCACUCUUAUUUUUCUUCAAAAAAAGAUAAGGUCAUCAAAAUAAAUAAAUAGCAAAGACCAACCUGACACAACCGAAUGUUGGGGAUGUGAGCAAUCUUUUGCCAAUCAGUGCCAAUGUCCUUCCGACAUCUUUCCUCCAACUGAGGAAGUCCUUCUAUUCCUAAAAUUUGCAAAUUGGUUAGGCAACGCAUCUCGUCCGGAAGAGAUGUUAAAUUAGGCAAAUGACAGAGAUAAAGCCCUUGCAGAUUUGUUAGAUGUUGAAGCCCAAUGGGGAGAGACACCAGCUUUGGAAUACUAACAAUCUCCAAACGAGAGAGAUUCUUAAGGGGUUCCCAUUGCAUGCCCUCUAAAUCAACCUCCUUCCAAUCUCUUAUUGUUAAUCUUUCGAGGCUGGUGAGAUGUUGCAGGCACUCAUCUAGCGUGUGAGUGUCCAACCCGUCAAUGUUGUGUACAUCAAAAGAUUUCAAUUUGGAGAGACGAAGAGAAGAGGUUGAAGUUGAUGGGGCCUUAGCAUUGAUGUUCAUCUUGAUAGUCUGCUUUAACGGCCUUGAACUGGUAUUCGACAACAUUAGAUAUUCAUCGAGUGAUGGAUACAGUGGCAUGAAAUUCAAAGGGCAAUUUCUAAUGUUUAACGAGGAAAGACAAGGAAAUGCCAUGGUUGAUGUUCCCAUAACUUCUUUGGCAAUUCUUGAAGCCGGUGACACUGAUCAAGUUUCAGCGCUAGCAAAUUCUGAAUCUUGCAAAUACUCUUUGGGAGAAUCUUAAGACAGAGAUUAUAAGAAAGAUCAAGGUACCUCAAAUGUUUCAACUUGUAAAUGGAGGGUGAAAUCAUCUGAAUACCUAAACAUUGCAAAUCCAAUACACGCAAGCAUCUACAAUUUGCAAUUACAAAAUCCCAAGUUUCUUCGCUCAAUUUUGGAAAAUCAUUGUUUGGAUACUGUAACAAGGUUCGCAACUUCUUUCCCUUAAACAAAGGAAUUAGUGAAGGUUUAAUUGAUAUGUGGCGACAUUUUUCACCAACAUCACUUGCAAUUUUAUUUGAAUCUACAAUACUACUCUCCAUCCCUGCUACUGAUUCAGCUAGAUCAUGCAUUAAAUCAUGCAUUUUACAUGUUAGCCCUUCCCAUGAAUAUCUUUCUCCUACUUCUUGGAAGAAACUUCUUUCAACUAAAUCUUUAAAAUACCCAAACCCGAUCUCCUCGACAGAUUGACUUUGAUUCAAUUGCUUUAUGAAACCUUGUGCAAUCCAAAACUGAACAAGCGCUUGUACUUCAAUUCUGUAAUCUUUUGGAUACAAUUGGCAAUAAGCAAAGCAAUGCUUCAAAUAAGAUGGGAGAUGAUCAUAACUCAAUUUCAGUAUAGGUAGAAGUUCUCCUUCAAUUUGUGAUAUUUUAGCAAGUUCAUUUUCUUUGAAAGAAUACCACUCAUUUGCAGUUUUCUUCAAAGAUAAUGUACCAGCUAUCGUCCUUAUGGCUAAGGGAACCCCACCACACCUUUCCGAAAUCUGUCUCCCUACUUCCACAAAGGCUGAAUUUGUUGAGUCUGCAUAUCCUUGCUCAAAUGCUAUCCUUUUGAACAAAGACCAAGCAUCAUCAUCAGACAAGCCUUUCAGUUUCAAAACAUGGGAUUGACAUUUAUUAGUUAUCUCCGCUACCCUUAGAGAUCGAGUCGUUACUAUUAUCCUACUCCCUUUAGCCCCACCCAUCAAUAACUUCUUUAGCCUAGACCACUUUUCUGGGUCCUCAUUCCAAAUGUCAUCCAAAACAAGCAAAUAUUUUUUCCCAUCAAUUUUAUCUCGAAGUUGUUUUUGCAAUUGAUCCAUUUCAAGAUUUUGAUCAGGUGCUUGAUGAGUCACAGAUUUGAUAAUGUUUGCUACAAUAACUUUCACAUCAAAAUCAUCUGAAACACACGCAAACAUCGUUAAGUCAAAAUGAUUUUUGACCAUUUCCUGGUUAUAGACAAGUUGGGCCAAAGCAGUCUUCCCUAACCCUCCAAACCCCACAAUUGGAAUGAUAUAAACAUUCUCUUCACUUUGAAACUCCAACACGAGUUUUAGAAGAGCUGCUUUAUCAUCAUCCCUCCCUAUUAUGUCAUCUUCACGCUCAAAAGAGUGCGUUUGCUGCCUCCUUUUAGUCAUGAAAGAGGUUUCCGCGGGGCGAUCACGCGGAAUGAAGCCAAAAGUGUUGGCCUCCCUUUCAAUUGAAGUUAAUCUCGCCUUAAUGGCCUUCAUUUUCCGACCCAUUUUGAGACCAUAAGCAAAUUGGUUUGAGGUUGAGAAGAAAAGGCGUACCUCUUUCGCCAGCUUGUUCCCACCCGAUACAUCUUUCCGCAAAGCUUCAGUAGAGAAAUCAUCGAGCAAGUCGUCGGCAUCAUAAAGUACAUAUUUCAGCUCUUCAAGCCAAACUUUGACGAGAUUGUCGGUCACCGAUUUCUCUUCAGCGUCAAGAAGCACAGCUUUGAUUUGACAGACAGUGCGUUUGAGGUCGUGGAUGUCAUGUUUUAGAUUCCACCACAGCCCAACUUGAGAGAGAGCACAAGAGCUCAACUUAGUAAUAAGCUCUAGGGCGAGGUCGAAUGCAAUUGCUUCGGCCAUUGCUGGUUCAAACAGAAAUCAAGCAAAGAAG